UUUUUUUUUUGUGGUAAAAUUUAAGGAUGAAUUCUACCUAUUUUAUAAAUUUGAAACAAACUAAAUGGUUAAAUCAAGAGUUAUGAAUUUCUAAAGUUCGGAAAGAGAAAACCCUUUGUGGAAAAAAUAUGUUUUGAAGGGAUUUUAUUAUAUUUUGAGUUUUAUGCAAAAUAAAGGAGUUUUGGAAGUUAAGACAAGAAUCAUAUAAAGGUUUAAGCUACACUCUCUAUAGCUAGAUACCCAGUUUAUUCUCAAAUAGUAAAUCUUACCAUACGACAAUGUUUGUUUAACCCUUUAUAUAAGAUCAUUUAUUUGAGGAUGAUAGGGAGUAGUUUUUCUAUGAUUGAUGGUAAACAAUGUAUUCAUUUCUUUAAUAGCUUCAUUUAAAAAAUGAGUACCAUUGUCACUCACAAGGAUUUUUGGACAACCAAAAAGAGCUAUGAUAUUUUUAUAUAGGAAUAUGGCAGUUUGUUUAGCACCCGUUUUCUUCAUAGCUUUUGCUUCUGUCCAUUUGAUCAAAUAUUAUAUAGCUAAAAUGAUAUAUUACAUCUAACAUAAAGAUGCAGGAUAAACAAUAUAAUCCAAUAUAAUCUAUGCUCCAUUUUUCAAAUGGAACAAGUGGAAGUGAAGGAUUUAAAGGCAUUGCAAGAUUUAAAUCAUUGCAUGCAUAUUUUUGGCAAGCAUUAUAAGAUCUUACAUAAGACUCUGAAUUGAUAAACAUUGUAGGCCAAAAUUAGCCUAUUCUAAGGAUUUUUUGAGUUGUUAAUCGAUCAGAGAAGUAUCCACGACAAGCACUUGAAUGAUAAGCUUCUAUUACAAGUCGUACUUCUUCAUAAGUAAGACAACAUCUUAAAAUUCCAUUAAUUCCUCGAUAAUAUAAUUUCUUAGCUGUAAGAGCAAAAUAGGUACUAUUUAUUUUAAUCUUUUAUUUUUCAUUUUUGGAUAGAACAUUGGAUAAUUGUUGAAUACUCAAAAAUUCAGCAAUAUAUUCAUACCAUAUAGAAACCACCAUAAUAUGGAACAAAUGAGCAUCAAGAAGUUCAUCAUUUAUAUCUUGAAUACCAAUGGUUGUAGAUAAUCAUGAAAGGUGAUUGCUUGUUUGUAUUAUUUUUUCGGUUUGUAUUGCAUUGUAUAAUCAAAUUUUGCUAGAAGUAAUAUCCACCUUGCUAAUCUGCCACUUAAAUCUGGUUUGUUCACAAUAUAUCUGAAGGCCAUGUGAUCUACAAAAAAAAUAAUCCUGUUCAUCAAAAGGUAAUGGCGGAAAUUUUUGACACUAAAGACCAUAGCCAAACAUUCCCGUUUUAUAGUUGUAUAGUUACGUUCAGCAUUUGUUAAUUGUUUACUAGCAAAAGUAAUAGGAUGAAUCACACCCUUAUCAUCUGGUUGGCAUAAUGCACUACCUAUUGCCAAUUCAAAGGCAUCAUAAUAGACAUAGAAAGAUUGAUCCCAGUUUGGAGGUAGUAGAUAAGGAUAUGAGAGCAAUUUGGCUUUAAUUGCAUCAAAACUGGUUUAGCAUUCAGAAGUCCAUUCAAAUUUGGUAGUCUUCUUCAACAAAUCAGUCAAUGGAGACACAUGAGUAGAAUAUGAUUCAAUCAAAUCAAGAUACCAACCCAUAUGUCCUAAAAUCUUUUGAAUGUCUUUUAUUCCAUUUGGAGGUGGUAGGUUUACAAUAACCUCUACCUUUUUUGGAUGAAGUUUUUUUUCCUUCUUAAAAAUGACAUAACCUAAUAAAACUCUUCUUUUAACUGCCAAAUAAACCAUGUCCGGGUUGAAAGAAAUUCCUACUCUUUUACGACGUUGAAAACAUAAUUGAAGGCUUAUAAAGUGAUCAUUUUCUGAAGAUUGACAACUAAAGUCGUCAAUAAAAACUGACAUAGUUUUUUGAAGAAGGUUUGAGAAUGCAUUGGUUAUAACUCUCUGAAAAGCUGAAGGAGCAUUGCAUAAGCUGAAAGGCAUUACUAUACAUAUAAAGGUUCUCCGAGGUGAUGUAAAUACAGUCUUGUGCCAAUCUUCAGGAACUAUUGAUACUUGAUUGUAACCAGAGUAGCCAUCUAUAAAAGUAUAGAUGUCAUGACUUGCCACAUCAUCUACUGUAGAAGUGAUAAAAGAUAAUGAAAAAUGGUCUUUUUGAGUGUACUUAUUUAGAUACCAAUAAUCCACAUACACCCUGAGUUUAUUUCUUCCAUUUUUCUUCACCAAAACAAUAUGAAAAAAUCAAUCUAUAAUUUCUAUAAGCUUUAUAAAUCCCACUUGAAGUAGCCUUUCUAAUUCUGUUUUCACAAUGAGUUACAUUUUAGGAUUGAAUCUUCUAUGUUUUUAUCUAACAGAUGUUGUAUUUGGAAGAAGUGAAAUAGUAUGAUGACAAAUUCUAGGAGGAAUACCUUUUAAAUCUUUAUAAGACUACACAAAUAUAUCUCAAUAUUCCAUUACUAAGGAUUUAUAUUUCUCAAGUUCUCCUUCACCUAAUUGGGAUCCAAACUUGACAAAUUCGAGUUCUUCUUCAUCAUGAUUUACUAGAACUUUGAUCCAAUCUUGUUCUACCAGAUGUAUGGAGUCAAUGGAUCCAUGGUACCAAUCUUUAGAUAUUGGUGGAUAAGUCGGUAUAUCAUGUCCAACUUCAAUGCCUUAUAAAGUACAUUUAAAUUGUAAUAGAAAAGGCAUGAUGGUUCCUUCCUUCAUAAUAGUAUCCAAAUCAUCUACUUGAGUUCCGUUGAUUUUCAAACUAAAAGCUUCAUUUAUAUAAAUAUCAUCAAUUAAGGUUGCAAGAUCUAGACAAUCAUCUUCAAGUUCCAACCAAUCAAUUACUUCUAUAAAUUGAAUGUAGAUAUCUUCUUCUUCAUAUAGAUUCUCUUCUAACCAUUUAGUAAAAUCACCUUCAUCUUCAUAUUCAUACAAUCCAAGACCAAUACAUUUUAUUGGUGCAAUUGUUCAAGUUGAAUUUGAUUGGAUAAAACUAUUUUGUUUAGCAUCUAUAGAUGUUGGUGUUUUUUCUAAUGGAGCCAAAGUUUGGAGUCUAAAGUGACUAGAUACUAUGAUUUUUGUACGAUUUUCUAAUGGUUGAAAAGUAAAAUAAGGCUUAGAAGCCCCCAAUUUGUUACUCUUUUAGAUUACCUCAAUCAUCUUCUUCUUAAUAAUAGAAGGUAGCUAUCCACUUCUUUAUAUAGGCAUAUGACAUAAAAUGAUACCAUAUAAUCUAUACCUCCUACUUGCAUAUGAAGGUCUCGAAUUUGACUUAAAGGUUGAGAAGGUCUUUGAUCAGCUAGUCUUACCUUUAUAAUUGCCUUAUGAGUGAUUUUUAAUCCUAAUUUGAUCAUGGUGGAUUCGGGCAUAAUAUUGAUGCUACUUCUAUCAUCUACUAUGACCUUAAGAAUUACUUUAUCUACUAUUUCUACAUCUAUCUUAAUAGGUCCAUACUCUCUAUUGUGUUUUUCUUCUUCCAAGAUAAUAUCUCCUUCUAAAUCUCCAACUUCAAUUUUAGCUAUUUCUUUCAUAUUUUUGGUUUGUCUUUAUGUAAUUAUACUUUCUUUGAGGUUUUUUUUUUAUGGUUGAUGCUACUUGAACCAAUUGACCAAAAGAAAUGUUGGCUCUAGUCCUACAAAGGUCUUGCCAUAAAUCAUAUGGUUCUGCAGGAUUGAAGGCUCUAAUAAUUGUUGGAUGUUUUAACAAGGUAUUAGAAGUUGAAGGCCCUUGUUUGUCCACAAAUUGAUAUUCUUCUUCAUUAGAUUUAAUCAAAGAUGAUUGGUUGUAUUUUAAUUAUUUAGCUACCUCUUCAGUAGUUUUUGUCAAUUCUAGAAACUUAAGUAAUUCUUCUGAAGUAUCCAAAGAUAUUUCAUCGUCUUCAAGAGUUACUAAAUCUAUUGGUUUUUUGGCACUCAUACUUCUACUUAUAACUAGAGAAGAUAAAUAUACAUUGUUCUUGAAGAUCUCUUUGUUGUUUAGUUGAAUCAAGUUGGAUCAAGGAGAUGGUAAGGUUGAUGUAGUAGGUACAUCAAAUUGAGCCACUGUAUAUCUAACAUCUUGACAAGAAUGUGGUUUUUGGUUUUGGGUUUGGUUUUGGAUAUAGGCUAAAAAUCCUUGUAAUGUUCUAUGAUUGAUUUUAACUAUUAUUGGAGGAUUAUGAUUUUGACCAUUGUUUGAAGGGUCAUAAUACAUGUUUGAUGGAUUUUUUGUAACAAUAGGAUCUACAAAUCUAACUCCUUGUAUAAUUCCUCUGAUUUGGUUAUUAUAAUUCCUUGAAGAAGAAGUUGAGGAAUUAACUUGGUUGGAUCUUCUACAACGAUCCAUAGGAUAAAAACCUCCACAAUUUGAGCAUAUAAUUUCAUUCUCAAUCCAACAUUGACCUAUUUGAUGUGGUUUUUUACAAGUAGGAUAAGGUGUAAUAUUAUUCGUUUAGUUGAAAGGAAGACUAGGACCUUCUUGUCUUGAUUAGUGAAGAAAUCUAUAAGAUUGGAAUUUAUUCUUUUCUAUAAAUGGGUGUUAUAAAAAUCAUAGACAAAAUUGAGCAGUGUGAUUUACUUGUCUACAGUUUGUACACCACAAUCCAAAAAUAUGAAUUCUCAAUUUUUGGUAUCUAGGCUCUAUAGUUGGAGUUUGAUUUUUAAUGAGGCAAGUCAUUUGUUCACUAAUAGCUUUCAUAGUGUUCAUCAUCUCAGUUUUGAACACCUCAUUGAUUUGCCUUUCUUUACUUUUAAAUUCUUUCAAUCUAGUAUCAUAAAAGGUCUUAGUUUGAAUUUGAUCAUGCGGAGGUUGUGUAGCUUAAGGUAUUGGAUUGCUAAUUGGCAAGGAAAAAUUAGAAGGUUGUGAGUAGCUUAAAGCUAGAGGUUGAUGGAAUUUUGUAGGUUGAUGUUGCAAGGAUAUAAAGGAGGAUAUUGGUUCUUCUACCGUUUGAAGCAUACAAUCAUUUUUCUUAUCAAUAACCUCCACUUCCAAAGCGGCUUGAAUGGCUCCUUCUAAGUCUUUAGGUCUCUUGUUUAGGAUAUCCCGAAUUGUAGAAGGCAUGGCAAAACCUUGAAUAAAGUAGUACCUUAUGGUAUCCUCAUUUAAAAGAUUACCAACAUAUCGAGUACAUACUAUCUGAAAUCGCCUUACAUAAGAAGUAAUAUCUUCUAAAGGACCCUGUCUAAUAGUUGUCAAGGCUGAAAGAGCUUGUUGUUGGCCAAUUACGAGCCUAUAUUCAUAAAAAAAUACUGCUAGAAGUUGUUCUUAUUUAGUGAAUGCCCCUAUCUAUAUGGAAUCUAUACCAAGCAUACGUAGAAUCUGUUAAGGUUUUUAGAAACCAUAUUAAAUAGUAGUCAUGAUUGGUUACUAAACUAGUGAUAAGCACUUCUACAAACCUUUCUAUGUAGGAUGUCGGGUCUUCAUUAAUAGAUCCACUAAAUCUUCGAAGGUUAGGUGGAAUUGAUGCCCCUUGUAAUCCUAAAGAUACUACAAUUGAUAAUUCUUUAGGUAAUAUCAUCGGGUCGAUUUGGGUAUUGUCUUGAAAGUUGUGGUUAUCUUCAUUGGCUACAUUAGCCGUUUGAGUUGAAAAUAGUCAAGGCUCUACUUGAAGCUGUGAAGGAUGCCAUCUACCUGUCAAGGACAAAGACUCGAUGAGGAAAAAUAUACACCAAAAGGCUAUCUCGAUAUAAUAAGUCAAAAUAUAAACAAGUAGGUAUAUUAAAAGGAAACUGGAAUGGCUAUUGCCACAAGACAAGAAACUAAAGACUCUUGAACCUGGACUAGAAGCAAGAAAGGAGUUGACAAGAGUGAAGAAGCCUUCACUCUUGUCUCUAUAUAUACUAUCUAACUAGGGGCUACGUGGCGACGUUCUAUAGGACCUCCAAUAUGUGUUGACUUUGUAGGACACAUGCCUUGACUUACAAGGCAAGUUUUUCUACGUGUGGGCCACAUAGUUAGCUUGAUCUUCAAGCUAACAACAUGUGUGGCACAUAGCCAACUUGUUGACCACGUUUCUAAUCCAAAAAGUCAAUUAAAGACACCUAUGAAGUCAAAGCAGCAUCUAGGAAGUUUCUAGGAAGCUUCUAUAUUAAAUAUUAUAGAAUUAACUUACUUUUAUCUACUUUUACUUACUUCUACCUAUUUCUAUAUGUAAUUAUUAGCUUACAUGAUUAUAGCCGUGACAUUACCCCCCCUUCUAGAGACGAGUUCCACGAGGAGCGGUCAUCAUAUGUUGAGGAAAUCUAUGAUGCGACGAAUUGUAUUCGCCACAUACUCUGAUCUCUGUUCUCUUCGAAGAUGAUUGAUAGGGCCUCUCAACCAUCGGUAGUGUCCCAUACCAGGGCGGGAAGACCACCCAGUUAUUUGAUCAUUAUUGAGGCCUUCAUAACUUCCUUCGAAUAGAAUAUUCGGAACACCAUCAGGAGUUGUUCCUACCUCUAGCAAAAUCACCAAACAUCGGGAGUCCCUUCCCAAAUCGUGAUACCAAACGCGUUGUAUCUCACCAUCUGUUCGAGGAAGAACAUGUCGUUCUUGAAGAUCUUCAUCUCGAUUGCGUCGUCUUGAAGGUUGUGACAAUUGUAAUGUCUCGUCCGACAGGUCAGCAAACGAAGGUUCUUGAGUUGAAUCUGCUGGUUGUUGGCUCUCCAUCUAAUUAGCGUCACAAAUGCAAAGAAGUUACAAACAAGGAUAGGAAAUUUAAUGUUAUCUUGCCUCAAUCUUGUCUCUUUUAUAAGAGAGAUUUUCAUCUUGGUUUUGAUGGAUGUCGUUGAUGAAAAACUUUGACUUUAGUUGAUGCAUUUGCUAGAUUCCUGGAUGGCUCCCAUGUGCGUUCACUAAUAUCAUAUCCGCGCCAAUGAACAAGAUAUUCCAGCUUAUUUCGGUGCCGCCUUGAGUCUAAUAUCUCUUCCACCUCAAAUUCUUCAUUAUUAUCUACUUCUAUAGGAGGUGGUGGCAUUUGUCUUCUUCCUUGUAUAUCCACUGUCUUAUAUGGUUCAAGAAGAGAUACGUGGAAUACAGGAUGGAUCUUCAUUGACUCUGGUAGAUGUAACCGAUAUGCAACUGGGUUGAUCUGUUCAGAAACAGAAAAGGGGCCAAGCCUACGAUAGUCCAACUUGUCACAAGGUCGAGUAGUCUUGAUAUUGCGACGAAGUAGCCAUACCUUAUCACCGACGUUGAUCUGUGGUUGCUCCUUACGAUAUAGAUCUACGUUUAUCUUUUGUCGUUCUUGAGCUUCCUUCAAUUGUGUCUUCAUUAUUGCAUGUAACUCUGACAACCGAUUUGCCAUAUCUUCUACUGCAGGAUUAUCAACUUUUGAAAAAUCAAAAGUAUCAAGUCGUGGAUGAUAGCCAUAAUUGGCAAAGAAAGGUGUUUGUUGCGUGGAAGAAUGUACCGUAUUAUUAUAAGCAAACUCUGCCAAUGGCAGAAGGGUUGUCCAAUCAUCUUGUUGGUAGUUGAUAGUACACCUUAAAUAUUGCUCCAAGACUUGGUUUACACGCUCUGUUUGUCCAUCAGUUUGAGGAUGAAAAGCCGAAGAUAGUUUUAUGUCCACUUUUAAAAUCUUGAAAAGGGUCCUCCAAAAUCUUGACACAAAUUGAGUUCCCCUAUCCGAUAUGAUAUCUUUAGGUAAUCCAUGAUAGCGAUAGAUAUUAUCAAUGAAAAACUUAGCUGUUUCUUCACCUGUGAUAGAUUUUGUACAUGGCACAAAAUGUGCCAUCUUGGUGAAACGAUCUACUAUCACAAAUAUAGAAUCAUAAGAUCUUGAGCUUGGAAGAUCUGUGAUGAAAUCCAUAGAAACAGAAGACCAUGGUUGUUCUGGUAUAGGUAAUGGCUGAAGAAGUCCGUAAGGUCGAUGACGAGGAAUUUUUGAUCUUGAACAAAUAUCACAUGAUUGUACAAAGUCUUUGACUGACUUCCACAUUUGUGGCCACCAAAAAUCUCUUGAUAUGAGUUCCAAAGUCUUAUUAUAUCCAAAGUGCCCUGCUGCUGGAAAGUCAUGACGUGCUUGAAGAACACGUAAACGUGCUUCUCCUUCUGGAACAUAUAGGCGUCCUUCAAAAUAUAAUAGAUUAUUCUUGAACUCAAACUUAGAAGGAUCAUGAGACUUGGAAGAAUUAUUCUCGAUAUCAUAAACAAGAGGGUCUGAGGACAUACUGGACUGGAUUUGCUUGAGAAAAGUUGAAUCAACAGUCAAUGUUGAUUUCAUUGCUCGGAGAUGAAAUUGCUCCGGUUUCAAGAGGACCGUUCUUUGUUGCUCAAAAGCUGCAUCUCCUUCUUUUGGUGCAAAAUAAGAACGUCUAGAUAGGGCAUCGGAUAAACCUUGUUGUUUUCCUGGCCGAUAAGUGAUAAUGAACUCGAAUCUUGACAAAGACAUACUCCAACGAGCUUGACGACGAUUCAACACGCGUGCUGACAUGAAAUACUCGAGGUUCUUGUGAUCUGUAUACACAGUGACUGGACUAGAAGCGCCUUCUAGAUAAUGACGCCAUUCUUGAAAGGAAUCCACGAUCGCAAGAAGUUCUUUAUCGUGGAUCUCAUAAUUGAUCUCGGCUGCUGAGAAUUUUCUUGAAUGAAAAGCUAUCGGAUGGAGUUUGUCAUCUGUUCCCAUUUGUGAUAAAACUGUACCCAAGGCAAAAUCUGAUGCAUCUGUUUCCAUAAAAAAUGCCUUGGAAAAGUCAACACGAUAUAAGACUGGUGCAGAGACAAACGAUGUCUUCAAGGCUUCAAAUGCUGCUUCCGCUUCUUGAUUCCAUUGAAAUUUAUCUUUACUAGUCAAGCGUGUAAGUGGAGCUGCAACUCGUGAGAAAUCUUUGAUGAAGAUCCGAUAGUAAUUCGCAAAUCCCAAGAAACAUUGGACAUCUCUUACCGUCCUUGGAAUCUUCCAAUCCACGAUUGUUUGGACUUUCUUAGAAUCCAUCAUGAGACCAUCAUUUGAAAUGAUGUAUCCUAAAAAGUCAACUUGAGUAGUGUGAAAUACACACUUUUCCAUCUUGGCGUACAAUCCUGCAUCUCUAAGUUUUUGUAAUACUUGACGAACAUGUAUUUCAUGUUCUUCGACGUUCUUGGAAUAGAUCAGGAUAUCGUCUAGAUAGCAGAUGACAAAAUUGUCUAAGAAUUCUCGAAAUACAUCAUUCAUGAGAUGUUGAAAAGCAGCUGGUGCAUUCGUGAGUCCAAAGGGCAUGACAUUAUAUUCGAAAUGUCCAUACCUGGUUCGAAACGCAGUCUUCCAUUCAUCUCCUUCUUUGAUCCGUACUAGAUUAUAUGCUCCUCUUAGAUCUAUUUUUGUAUAGAUCUUAGCUUGAUUCAACUGGUCAAAGAGUCCUGAUAUCAAAGGUAAUGGAUACCUGUUCUUGAUUGUGAUCUUGUUGAGUCCUCGAUAAUCAACACACAUUCGUAAAGAUCCAUCUUUUUUCUUUACGAAUAGAAUUGGAGCUCCUGCUGGAGAUUUUGAAUGGCGUAUGAAAUUCUUCACUAAAUUCUCGUCAAUAUAUGUCUUGAGUUCAGCCAUCUCAUCUUGCGAUAAACUGUAAAUUGGUCCAAAUGGUGGCUGAGUUCCUUCCUUGAGGUCGAUUGAACAAUCAUAUGGGCGAUGCUCAGGAAGAAUAUCUGCAUUCUUUUUCUCAAAAACGUCUUGAUACUCCUGAUAUUGACUUGGAAUGCCACUUGAAGUCUUUACGUUUUCAGAAAUAGGUGCAGCAUAAAUAGCAAAAGUUGAUCCUUCUUUUGCUGCGUGUAUAAAUGCUUUUGCACCUAUCAGUACGGGUUUUACUGUACUAGACUUAUAAUUUUUUACUUAGUUCGUAGAACUAUUAAUAACGCUUUCGGAAAAGUCAAGUUUACGUGAAUUCCAAUCUAUUCGAGGGUUUAUUUUUCUAGCUAGGAUAAACCUAAAAUAACUGGAUUAGACGGGGAUUUAAUUAUGUUAAAAGCUAUGUAGCUAUCAUGACCGUCUAUUGUUACUUUUAUAGGAUGAGUUUCAUGAGUGACAUCUCCAGAAGACAAGGGACGACUAUCUAUGACUUCUACAUGUACUGGUUUAGGUUUCUGUACAAAGGAUAUUUUACGACUUUUAACAAAUUGUUCAUCUAAAAAACAUGCUGAGGCUCCCGAAUCUAAUAAAGCAGAGGCUUUGUAAUUCUUAGGUCCUAAAUAUAAGUCUAUUAUAAAACAAGGAGAGGGUUCUGAGGAGAGGAUAGGACCUUCAUUAGGAAUUGUACAAGGUUCCAGCUGCACGGUCCCUAUUGUAGCUGGACGAAUCCGUUUUCCGACAUGUUGUCUUCUUUGACCGUCGUAUCCCUCAUUUUAUAGUUGUGUCGUUUCUUUGGACAAUGUUGAGCAGUGUGCUUAGGUUCUCCGCAAUAUAAACAUAAUCCUUCUUGACGACGACGAAUCUUUUCUUGCUCAAUUAGGGAUUUAAAACGUACCGCGUCAAUUUGCAUGUCUUCUACUUUCGAAUGUACGUUUGGCAAAGAUGUUGAUGUUGCCAUUGAGUAAUAACGUUGAGGUUCCCGUGAAUGAUUCUCGGAUCGAAAUUCAAAAAGUCGAUUAUCACAUUUUACCGCAAAAUCGAUUGCUUGACUCAAAGUUUGAGGAUCAGGUAAGUUGAGCAUCAAUUUCUUUACUUUGUAUUGCAAUCCAUAAAGAAAUUGACUGAUGAGUGCAGCAUCAUCCCACUUGAUGUCAAUUGCAAGUUGUCGAAAUUGUGAAGCAUAUACUGUUACUGAGCGAUUUCCUUGUCGUAGAAUUUGGAUCUUAUUUGUUGCAACACGAGUUGCAUCGUGUUCACCAUACAUAGAUUGAAACUCCGCCAAAAAAGCUUCCAAAUUGUCCAAUAUUGGAUUUCGUUGUUCAAGAAAAGACGAAAACCACGAUAAUGCAGAACCAGAAAGUAGAGUGCCAAUAAACCUGACUUGUGAUCUUGGAGUUGGAUAGCUUUGCGGUUGAAGUUCAAUUGCCAAUUGUACUUGAUUGAUGAACCCUCGAAACUUUGAUCUCGUACCAUCAAAUUUCUCAGGUAAGGCAAUUCUUGGUUCUCUAGUGCUUAUAGGGUGUUGUACAAUUGGAGAAGGAACGUGAUUUGUUGUAGAUGUUGAAGCAGCUCCGAUCAUCUCUAUAUCUCCACUUUCUGCUAUUCUUGUUCUUUCCUGUGUUGGUGAAUUGAGUUGAUGCAUCGCAAGCAUUAACUCCCUCAUUUGCUCUUGCAUUUGUGCCAUUGCACUCUUCAUUUCAACAAGCUCUGUCAUAAUGACACUAAGAAGAAAAAUUUGUUUGAUAUUGCUCAAGACAAAAGAAAAGAAAGACUUGAUAACAAAGAAGAUACUAAGAACAAUAUCAGUUUAGAAGUGGGUAAUCCGCAAACUUCUAAUACGCUUAUGUCUUGUCAAGAGAAAGGGGUAAUCCACUCUUACUCAAGAAAAAAACAAAGCUCUGAUAUUGUAAGUGUACUCUUGUCAAUCUGUCAAGGACAAAGACUCGAUGAGGAAAAAUAUACACCAAAAGGCUAUCUCGAUAUAAUAAGUCAAAAUAUAAACAAGUAGGUAUAUUAAAAGGAAACUGGAAUGGCUAUUGCCACAAGACAAGAAACUAAAGACUCUUGAACCUGGACUAGAAGCAAGAAAGGAGUUGACAAGAGUGAAGAAGCCUUCACUCUUGUCUCUAUAUAUACUAUCUAACUAGGGGCUACGUGGCGACGUUCUAUAGGACCUCCAAUAUGUGUUGACUUUGUAGGACACAUGCCUUGACUUACAAGGCAAGUUUUUCUACGUGUGGGCCACAUAGUUAACUUGAUCUUCAAGCUAACAACAUGUGUGGCACAUGGCCAACUUGUUGACCACGUUUCUAAUCCAAAAAGUCAAUUAAAGACACCUAUGAAGUCAAAGCAGCGUCUAGGAAGUUUCUAGGAAGCUUCUAUAUUAAAUAUUAUAGAAUUAACUUACUUUUAUCUACUUUUACUUACUUCUACCUAUUUCUAUAUGUAAUUAUUAGCUUACAUGAUUAUGGCCGUGACACUACCAUGCUCUAUCCCGAUAGAAGCUUGCGACAUCUUGUCACAAGGUUCUUUUAAUAUGUGGGUUUUUAAAACUAUAGAUUUAAUAUAUGAUCUAAAUUAUAAAACUCAUCUAGAUUGCAAAACAAGGCCAGUAGGGGGAAGAUAAACUAUCUUAGAUUUAAUUCUAUAUAGCAUAUAACUAAGUAUAUGACUCUUCAAUGACUCUCUUAAGAUAAAAGACUUAAUAGGUGAUUAAAAAUAAAACAAGUAGACUUUAAAUUAUUUUUAUUUUAUUUUAUGAAAUAACAUAAAAUCCUUUUCUCUUCUUACUUAUUUGUAAGGCAUGUGGUUUAAUUAUAUACUAAGAUGAAAUCUCGUGCCGAUCUCAAAUUAGUGGUUUCACCCAAUAAUUAAACCUUUCGCACGAGUGAUGCAUGAGGUCCAAUUAAAUACCAAGUUAAGAUCUUGUGUUGAUCUUAAUAUGGUGGAAUCACCCAUUAAUUGUACUUGAUUUAUAAUUUAGAGAUUGGAAAAUGAGGCCAAAGAAAGUACAAGUAAUUUAAAAAUUUUAUCACAUGGAUACUACAAAAAUCAAAUGGACCGAAAAAAUGGCAACUUGUAGAGCAACCUAUUGCUUUCAACUUUGUCUCAUGGGGGUCAUCACGUCCCGUAAGUACUAGCUCAACAAUAAAAGAAAGUCAUGUCGACCGUUAACCUGACUUUACUUUCUAUAAAACAACUACAAAUUGAAAUAGCACUUAUCAACAACACACCAAGUUCCCUUCAGGAAAAGAGGUAGAGUGGAGAAAUUCUUGGGUCGUAUAAUGGAUUUUGUCCACUUAUAUUAUAAGAAGAUAGAAGGAGUUUAGAAAAUACUUGGACACAAUAAGUCCCCCCAUGCUCCUUUUUAAAUAUACCUGAACUAAAAAUAAAAAUAAAAAGCUAGGUUUGAAACCCACCUAAUUUUACCAAGCUGUGUUCUUUUUCCUUGAUCCACAAUCUGUGUUAGUAAAAUAAAUUUGAAACUAAAUGAUUUUUUUUAAAAAUAUACUCACCUAAGAUUAUAAUUUAAACUUAUUAGUCUUCUCUUUUCUUCUUUUCUUCUUUUUUCUUACUUGUUCUAAAUUUCUUCUAUCUAAUUCUUCUAUCUAUUUUUUCUUCUUGAAUCUCUUUUUCUUUUGUUCAUAAAGAAUUUUUUUGAAUUCUUUUUAAGCUUCUUCUACACAACUCCUAUGAAUAGAAGGGAUAUGAAGGGUGAAGGGAGUGAUAAAAUCUCCCUACCACUAGAAAAAGGCCCUCCACUGGAAAUUUACAAGGAUGCAAAGAGAUGGUACAAGGGGUGGAAGAAGUGAUUAAAUCCCCCUACUACUAGAAAAAAGUGUGAGUGUAAAUUUCCACCCCUCAACCCAAAUUAUAAGAUGGCCUCAAUUAAGAGAUGCUUGUAAUAGGUGGUGUGAAGUAGAAGUAACAAACAACAAGAACCUAAGAAGAAUAACACAAAAUAAGUGAAACAAGUGCAAUCAAGCAAUUGUACACUACAAGACGAGUCACAGUCUGUUCACUGAAUUUUCAACCAAUAAAAAGUAAAAAGUAAAAGUAAAAGUAUAUUUUUAGAAAGGUAAUUUUUUAUCUUUUCAAUGAUGUAAAAAAUAUGUAAAUCCGAGUUACUAUGAAUAAGUUAUGAAGGAUUGAAAAUAACAAGUAACAAAUGGAAAGUUAAGAGAAAAAUAUUUUACCUCAAGGGUACCUUGUUAAUAGAUCAAGGGUUCGAACCUCACCAAGGCUCACAUGUAGUGUAUAUGAGGUGCCUAAAGUCGCCUUGAGGCCUUAGUCUUAUCUUCCUACCUACAUCUAAGGUGCUACACCCCAUAUAGGACUUGUGCACCUCCCUUCUUACAAGGACUAUACUAGCUGCUGGUCCUCCUAUUUUCUACUAGUAGAAUUAAUAUUUUUGCAUUUUUGACUUCACCAUGGUGUUUAAAAACACCCAAUUAGCCUAGGAACAUUGUGUAGCCUUCAAACCUUGCUCCGUUUCUUCAUAAUGGCUCCCCAAGUGGUAAAACUCAAUUUUACCAAGGUCUUGAAAAUUAUCCUAAAAAUUCAUAGAAAAUUCUAAAUAAAUUCUAAAUAAAUUCUAAAAUUUUCUAUAAUAUUUCUAUAAUUCUAAUAUCCAUUUAAAGAUAUAAUUCCCUAUAUUGAUGAUUUUUUUAUGGUGAUAAAAAUCAAUUUGAAUUUACUAAAAAUUCUAAAUAAUUUCUAAAUAAAUUCUAAAAAUUCCUAUAAUAUUUCUAUAAUGCUAGUAGCAAUUUAAGGAUAUGAUAUCCUAUAUUAUUUAUUUUUUAUAGUAAUGAAUCAAUUUAAAACUACUAUAAAUUCUACUUUCUAUAUAAAUAACUAAAAAGACAUGAGGUUCUUUUUCAUACUUCUUUUAAAUACUAACUAAUAUUUAUAGUUUUUUUAUAAGUAAUAUAUAUAGAUAUAAGAUCAAUAUAAAUAUUGAUUUUAGUAACUAAUCCUUAUUCUUCAAUAAUAAAUAAAAAUACCAAAUCAACUAAAAUAAUUACCUCCAAGACUUACUAAGAUUCCAUUUCUUCUCCACUAAUACUAUUCUUCUUUCUUUAACAUCGUCUAAGCACAUCUUUACCUAAUAAUUAUAAUUUUGGUACUCUAUAUGCAUUCUUUUGUCCUAAAACAACUAGUGAGUCAAUCUGAUGACUCACAAAAGGCCUUCAACUUGAAAAUUUACAAGGAGGGGGAGUGAUGAAACCUUGCAGAAUAAGUAGUUAUUUUUAGAAUGUAGAUACCUAGUGUAUAGUGUAAACAGGGAUAGAUAAGUACUGAAAAGGUGGUUCAACAGGUAGAAUAGAUGAAUAGUCAAGAAAAGUAGUUAUCUUCUGUAGUAUAGGAGUUGGUAUCUCCGGGUAGUAUAAGGAGGAUGGGAGAGGGGAAGAAAAUGCCAAACUGCAAUAAUACUGAGCCGGGGAUAAGCUUGGUGCUAUCUCUUCUUCUUCAUUUUCUUGUUUCUUUUGUGUUAGUGUUGAUUCUAGUGAAGAGAAUCGAUGCAAUGAAUCAAUGUUUGAUUUACGUAGUUAUUUAUGGAUCACUAUUUAUCAAUUGUUGUGAAAGAUUGAGGAUGUAUGGAAGUUUUCAGUCACUGUUUAUCGCAAGGUUGUAAGAUCAGUGGAGAAGAAUUGUAAUCGAAGGAAUUGUCUUAAUCAGAUUUUGUGGAUUGGAAGUUGUUCGUUCUAAGAUUUGGAUUGUGCUUGUGUAUUUAUGAAUUACACAAGGUACUGAAAUUGAUAUCGUGAUUAUUACCAUAUUGAUAUGAGAGAGUGGACAGUAGGAGGAAAACUUAAGUGUUCUUUGGUAUUAUAAGCAUUCAGCAGUAGCAGUUAAUUGUGUGAUCCUAACAAUUGGAGCUCAUAUACAUGGUCUUUUCUUGUGUUCAAAUUCGCCUAUACGGAUUUAUUUUGGGAGUUUUCUUCCGAAAUAAGUAAAACGACAACCACAUUUUGGUGUCGCUUUUGAAGAUUGACAACAUUAUUGAUUGUUAGGAAUUAACUGCCGAAGCAGUAAAGGAGAUUAGGAAGCAAACUCAGUAGAAGUAAUGAAAGAAUAUGGUUAUUAAGAAUGAGAAUUUAAUAGCAAAGAGAAUAAAGAAAUCAAAGGAAAGAACAAAGAGAUCGUAAGCAAGAAAUUUGUUGCGUAACAAGCAAGAUUACAAAUUAAAAAAGAAGCAUCGACAAAGUUAGAUUAAGCCAUGGUUACAUGCUUGUCGGCAUAUUUGAUCAUACUUAGAAGACGAUUGACCUCUAAUAUUUCAGAAGUACAUACCAUUAAAGAAAUUACCAAGAACACUCGUGGAGAGUGGUGCUAAUAGUCCAGCAUACCUGUCAAAGCUGUUAACGGAAAGUAAGGAAGGUACAGAGGAAUUAGGUACCCCAUUGGAUAUUUUUCCAAUUGGAGAUACAUCUAAUUCUAACAAGACUGGUUCAAAAGAUCAGCACAAAUGACUUGCCAAUAAAGACCAAUUCAGAGUAUAUCAAAACCUGUCAUUUUUACCAUAUAUUCAACUAGUAAAAUUAUUUGGAGAUAAUAAUAGUCAAUUCGAAAGGCUUGGAAGUCCAAAAAAGACUUUUUUGGAAGACAGUUUUUAUUUUAAUAAGGAAUUGAGCGGAACUUUGACAUCUUCAUCUCUGAAACUUGAUGCACCUCCAUUUCACAUGUGUAAAUUCUUAAGAACUUGGUGAUAUUCCUUCCAUGAAAUCUCCCAACUUUAUCCACUACUACUUGUAAGGCCUUAGUAGUGUUUCUAUCCUCUCCAUGCACCUAUUGCUUUUCUUCCAUAAAUUGAGCAAAUGUCCUGAAUAAAUCAUAGGCACCCACUCCUCCUGAUAAUCCAAACCGUGGAUUUUGAUCCUCCAUUUCAACUUGUUGAAAAAUCACUGCCUUAAGGCUCUCUCAGUGGAAGCACCAAUAUGUCGGGGUAGAGAGAAUUUGCCUCAAGAAAACGUUGGGCUUCUGGCUAUCACUAAUUAUUCAAUCAAGCUUGAAAAUAAGGAAAGCCCUAAGUUUAUAUAUAAUUUUUUUCUUUUGAAUAAUUACACCAAAUACACAAUCCUCAAGUAACCCACAACUUCCAAAAUAUGAUAAAAUCUUCUAAAACCUUGUUUAUUCUUAUGUAGAGAUUUUUCCGAACUUCAACACUUCAUAUCUCCUAAUCCGACCAUCCAAACAAAUUCAAAUUUUACAUGAGGUACUGAUGUAUUCUUAUUAACUUUUACAACAAAUUUCAACUACAAAUUCGUUGCAGAUCUUGAGAUAUCUUGAAAACCCUAACAGUCGCUUCAAACCCUUGUCUUUAUAUACUUGCAUGCAAUUUUCUUCAUAUCUCACAAAAUAUAAGCUCAAAUGCCACGAAAUUUAUAUGUAUAGCUUCUUAACACAAAGUUUUACAUUCUUCAAAAAUUUUGAGCCAAAAAUUUGUCAAAAAACUCAAGUUAUGGCUCCAACCAUUACUACAAACAAAACCGCUUACUUACUGCCUUGGAUUUGGAAGCACCGCCUUCAACUCCUUACAAUUCCUUUAUAUGAACUCCAAAAGCAAUAAUUCUUUCAUGAGAGAUGUAGGCCUUGAAAUAGCCAUUCCAGUCACACCUUCCGAUCUUCAAAAGCUACUGUAAAACUCCUCGUACUCUCAAAAGAGUAACAAUAUGUCUUAAAUAAAUACCUUAACUUCAAAUGGCUAUAACUUUUUCAUCCUAAUUCCAAAUCCUCUAAUUUUUCCACAAAAAUUGUACCUCAAAUCCUAAAAUUUACAGUCCUAGCUUGUUAUCUCCAAAUUCCCUUGAAAGAGGAAUCCUUAUCCCUAAUAAGGCCUUGGGCAGUCUCCUUGAAGCCCAUUGAGCAUGGCAUUCGACCAAUAGGGAUGAAGUUCCCCAUUCCUUGCCUUCAUUCAACCAUGCUUUGCUUUUAUCCCUUCCAAUGAGCCUCCUAUUAGUUUAGAUUUUCAUCCUUAGGCUUCCACCUUCUCCGAAGGCUUCAUACUAAACAUUUAGAUCUUAUAUAUAUAUAUUUUUUAAUAUCAAAAUCAAAACAAGUAAAGAAACAAAGUAAAGUUUCUUAUACCAACUCCUUUUAAUUAAAUCUACUAGCCACUCUAACACACAUCUAGAUUUAUUAACAUAUAAUAUGUUCUAACUAAUUUUUAUAUAUUGUAAGCAUUUACAGUAUGACAAUGCCGUCAAAAUUGAGACAAAUGUUGAUCUAGAUCCGCACCUGGCAAACCCUGAAAAGUAAGUAAUGGCACGACGCUAGUCAUUUGAUCAUCUACUGCACCUAUUUGAACUGCAAUCAGAAGUGGUGGUCCUCCAGAUACCAUGAAAGGAUUUGGAAUUAGGAUGAAAAAGUUAUAGCCAAUUGAAGUUAAUGUAUUUAUUUAAGACAUAUUGUUACUCUUUUGAGAGUACGAGGAGUUUUACAGUAGCUUUUGAAGAUCGGAAGGUGCGACUGGAAUGGCUAUUUCAAGGCCUACAUCUCUCAUGAAAGAAUUAUUGCUUUUGGAGUUCAUAUAAAGGAAUUGUAAGGAGUUGAAGGCGGUGCUUCCAAAUCCAAGGCAGUAAGUAAGCGGUUUUGUUUGUAGUAAUGGUUGGAGCCAUAACUUGAGUUUUUUGACAAAUUUUUGGCUCAAAAUUUUUGAAGAAUAUAAAACUUUGUGUUAAGAAGCUAUACAUAUAAAUUUCGUGGCAUUUGAGCUUAUAUUUUGUGAGAUAUGAAGAAAAUUGCAUGCAAGUAUAUAAAGACAAGGGUUUGAAGCGACUGUUAGGAUUUUCAAGAUAUCUCAAGAUCUGCAACGAAUUUGUAGUUGAAAUUUGUUGUAAAAGUUAAUAAGAAUACAUCAGUACCUCAUGUAAAAUUUGAAUUUGUUUGGAUGGUCGGAUUAGGAGAUAUGAAGUGUUGAAGUUCGGAAAAAUCUCUACAUAAGAAUAAACAAGGUUUUAGAAGAUUUUAUCAUAUUUUGGAAGUUGAGGGUUACUUGAGGAUUGUGUAUUUGGUGUAAUUAUUCAAAAGAAAAAAAUUAUAUAUAAACUUAGGGCUUUCCUUAUUUUCAAGUUUGAUUGAAUAAUUAGUGACAGCCAGAAGCCCAACGUUUUCUUGAGGCAAAUUCUCUCUACCCUGACAUAUUGGUGCUUCCACUGAGAGAGCCUUAAGGCAGUGAUUUUUCAACAAGUUGAAAUGGAGGAUCAAAAUCCACGGUUUGGAUUAUCAGGAGGAGUGAGUGCCUAUGAUUUAUUCAGGACAUUUGCUCAAUUUAUGGAAGAAAAGCAAUAGGUGCAUGGAGAGGAUAGAAACACUAUUAAGGCCUUAUAAGUAGUAGUGGACAAAGUUGAGAGGUUUGAUGGAAGGAAUAUCACCAAGUUCUUAAGGAUUUACACAUGUAAAAUGGAGGUGCAUCAAGUUUGAGAGAUGAAGAUGAUUACCACCUUUGAUUUGGCAGUGGUAUCAGAAAUUAGAGAAAGGGUGCAAGAGUUACAUUUUGAGACUAUAUCAUGGAAGAAAUUUGAAGAACUCUUGAGAGAUGAAUUUUUUGAAGAAGAUUCAGAAAGAAUGACAAGGUAGAUUUUUUUGGAGUGGAUUGAGCAAAGGCUAGGGAAUCAAUUGGCUCCAAAUGAAUUAAUCAAGGAAUUUGAGACCAAGUUUGAGCAAUUACCAUGGCAGGAGAGGCAGCUCUUAGAAACAAAGAAAACUGGAUUAUUUUUAUAAGCAAUUGAUAAAUAUUUAGAAGAUAAGCUUUUCUUUUAUCUAGCAGAUAAGACAUCUGAGAGUGGUUUUAUAAAUAAUUGGAAGCUAUUAAAAGAGACUGUGGAACUUUUGGCUAAACAACAACAGAUUAAGACUUGUGGUUUAAUAUCGAGAUUGGAACCAGUGCCUACAUCUCAGAAUCAAGGACCACCUGAAAAGAUGAUCAAGACUGUUAAUGAUGAUACUCUUGAAGAAUUGAUCAAGGGUAUACAAGAUUUGAAAGUGAAAAUGAUUGAGUUGAAGAAAUUCCAAAUAGCAAAUUCAUCAAAGACAUUUGAAGGCUCAAAGGAAUUUGUACAAACAUGUAUGUAGUGUGACAAUCCAAACCACAAGUGUGGUGAAUGUAACAGCUACAAAGGUGCAAUCAAGGAUGGUAUUGUAUACUUCAAAGAUGAGAAGAUAAGACUCUUAAGGUCAAAUGAGCCUUUAAAGCCAAAUUUUGGAAAGGGUGGCAUGAAAAAAUUGAUAGAAGAGCAAAUAUCAAGAAAUAAUGCCAUACAAGUAGAAGGAGCUGAGUCUUACUCUGUUACAAUUGAACAAAAAGUACUUAAGGCUAUUUUCCUACCAACUAUAGAAGUCAUGAUCAAGGGAGCUGAAGCUAUCAAAAAAAUGACUAGGUAGAAUGAUCCAGUUGAUACUAUUAAUAUUAAAGCAUAUUUAUGUGGAGAUAAAUAUGAUGAUGAUUUACAUGAUGCCAUGGUUGAAGAAAAAAGAGGUAGAACUAUUCAUGAAGAAGAUGUUAUUGAGCCUGAAAAUAAGAAGAGGUCUCCAAGAAACAAAGAAGCUUUUAAGAAGCAAAAAUCAGAGAAAAUGCCUUCUUCUACUCAUCCUGGUGGUACACCAUUACCAAAAGAGUAGUGGAAGAAGAGCAAAGAGAAAGAAAAAGAUGAUGCAAGCAAACCUAAAGGUAAAAAUCCUGCUCAUAAACUUUAAUCUGACAUUGAAACAUCUACAGAUAUGAAGAGCAUUUUGGAGGAAAAGAUCUUAGAUGCAAAAAUUGAAUUCAUUCUGAGAAAGACUCUUGGUAUAGCUAAAAAGAAUUUCCAUGAGUGGAUCAUCAAUGUAAUAAAGAAGAAGAGGCAAAUGAUAGCUGAAGCUAUUAUGAUAGAAGCAUUGGAUACUCGGGUAACUAUGGAUGAGGAAGAAGAGAUAGGGCAAGUAUUUGCAUAAUUUGCAAUACUAGGAGCUAGAAUUAAGGUUGAUAUGGAGAAUGAGGCUUUAAAUAAAUAUGAAGAAGCUAUAGAUGAGCAUCAAAUGAAAUGUGCAUCUAUAAAAAUUACUAGGAUAAAGAAGAAUGUACAAGAAGCAUGUGUGAAUACUUGUUCUAAAUGUGAUAAUGAUGGAAUGGGAAGUAGUAGCUAUUCAGUUCUUUAUUGGGCUAGAGCUACUACGGAGACAUAUGUGAGGUUGGGAGACUCUAAAGAUCCAAUUUUGGCUUUAGUUGAUUAUGAAUCAGAAUUCAAUAUCAUGUCAAGGUGAAUAUAUGAGAAAAAUAAGUAGCCAAUUGAUACCAAUCAUAGUAGGAUAAUUAGAGCUGCAAACAACCAACAAGGUGAUUUAUAUGGAGCUUGCCUAGCUAUAAGGACUAGAAUUGGAGAUGUGGAAGUGGAGCAAAAUUUCUUCGUGCAAAACUCUGCUACAUACCUAGUAAUACUUGGUCAACCUUAUAUUACAGCUAUUAGAAUGGAAACUAAAAUCUUGGAUGAUGGUUCACAUUAUGCCAAGAUUCAUAGUUGGAAUGGAAGAAAAGCUGUGCAGUUUAUUACUGUGAAACUUAUUCAUGAAAGGCAUAGAGAAUAAUUAAGAGAGAUGCCUUUGGAGCCAGGAAACAACUUUGUGGAUUUCUAGAAAGCACCCUUAUAGAAUGGGGACACAUGGGUGUAAAUAAGUUAUCUGCAAAUGCCAUUGUAGAUAAUAUGAAUUUUGGAUUUUUAAACUUGAUUAGUAAUGGAUUUGUGAAUAUUCAAAAGAUUAAAGAUUCAAAUUUUGUAUAUAGAAGAAGGAUGAAGAAACAAGAGAAAAACUUAAAAAGAGUGGAUUUAGUUUCAAGUGAUGAAGCUAUAGUUGGAAUAACAAAAGAAAUAGAUUUGGAAGAUGAUUUGAUAAAGGUUCUUGAAAAUUUAGCUAUAAGUAUGGAUGAAAAUACUAUAGUAGAAAUAUAUUCAAGAGAGACUUAUGAAGAAUUAGAAAAGAUAGUGAUAAUUGGUGGGCUUGUGUCACGGACAUACUCAUGUAAGCUAGUAAUUACAUAUACAAAUAUGUGGAAGUAAGUAAAAGUAGAUAAAAGUAAGUUAAUUCUAUAGUAUUUAAUAUGGUAGCUUCCUAAAAGCUUCAUAGACAUUGCUUUGACUUCAUAGGUAUCUUUAAUUGACUUUUUGGAUUAGAAACGUGGUCAACAAGUUGGAAAUGUGCCACAUAUGUUGUUAACUUGAAGAUCAAGCUAACUAUGUGACCCACACGUAGAAAAACUUGUCUUGUUAGUCAAGGCAUGUAUCUUACAAAGUCAACACAUAUUGGAGGUCCUAUAGAAUGUCGCCAUGUAGUCCCUACUUAGAUAGUAUAUAUAGAGACAAGAGUGAAGCCUUCUUCACUCUUAUCAACUCCUUUCUUGCUUCCAAUCUAGUUUCAAGGAUCUCUAAUUUUCUUGUCUUUUGGCAAUAGCCAUUCCGGUUUCUCUUUCAAUAUACAUAUUUAUUACCUUUCUUUGAGUGAAGGCUCACUUAUCUGAAUUGUUUUUUCAUCAAGUUCUUGUCUUUGAAAGCUUGCUACAAGCUAUGGAUUGAAACAUGAAGCUAGAGUACAAACUAAAUAUAAAGUUGUAGUAAGAAAGGUAAAGCCUAUAGCUACUCAAUUAUCAAUUGAUACUAUGGAUCAUAUCAACCAAGCAAUUAAGGAGCCAAGUCUAAGAGAAGAAAGUGGCAUUGGGCAUCAAUUUACUCAAGAAUCAUUAAUUAAAUUGAAGAUUGGAGGGGGUGAUUUCUUGACAUCAACAGAGAAAAUUAUAUUUCAAAAAAUGCUUAUUAGGUAUGGUAAGGCAUUUGCCUCAACUCUUGAUGAAAUUGGAUGUGUGGAUCCUAAUGUUGUAGUACCUAUAGUAAUCUUUAUUGUGCCGCAUGUUCCAUGGUAUUUAAAGCCUAUACCUGUGCCCAGAGCUUUACUUCCAAAGUUGAUAGAACUACUAAAAGAGAAGGUGAAGAUGGAUAUUUUAAAACCUUCAAUUGCUCCUUAUUCUAAUAGAUGGUUCACAAUACUUAAGAAGUCAGGGGCAUUAAGGUUUAUUCAGGAUAUACAACUUGCAAAUAGAGUAACUAUUCAAAAUAUGGGAUCAGGUCUUAUAGAAGAUGAAGUAGUUAAAUAAUUUGCAAGUCAUGCCAUCUAUUCUAUUGGAGACUUAUAUUCGGGAUAUGACCAAUUUUAAUUGGCUAAAGAGAGUAGGGACUUAACUUCCAUUAAGACUCCUUUGGAUUUAAUGAGGAUAUGUACCUUAUCUCAAGGUGCAAUCAAUUCAAUGGUUCAUAUGUAAAAUGCUAUGAACCAAAUAUUGAAAGAAUUUAUUCCUAAAAAAACCAUACCAUUUUUGGAUGAUAUACCUAUAAAGGGACAUAAAGAAGAAGACAAGGAUGAGACUAUGGAGGUUGAAGUUUGUAGAAAGUUUGUUAAGACGCAUAUUGAAGAUGUGGCUCAAAUAUUGGAGAGAUUGGAAUCAGUUAAUCUCACGUUAUCUUUGGAAAAAUCAAGCUUUCGAGUUGAUGAGAUUCUAGUGGUGGGACAUAUGUGUAGCAGGUAUCGUAGGAAAUCAAAUCCUGAUAAAAUUGAUGCUAUAUCUAGAAUGAAGGCUUGUAAAAUUGUUACAAAAGCUAGAAGGUUUUUAGGAGCAUGUGUAUUCUAUCAUAUUUGGGUGCCUUACUUUGCGCAUAUCUCAGAGCCACUAUAUAAAUUAUUAAGAAAGGAUAAAAGUUUUAUUUGGGAAGAAGAACAAAAAAUAGCUAUGGAAAAUCUAAAAAAGAUGUUGAGUUCACCACCUAUGCUUAGAUAAGUAGAUUAUCAAUGGAGAAGACCAAUGGUUGUAAUAGUAGACACAAGCCCUAUAUGAAUUGGAUGGGCUAUUGGACAAGAUGAUGUAGAAGGGAGAAGAUUUGCUAUAAGGUUUUGAGCUAGAAUUCUUACAAAGAGGCAAGAGGCUUAUCCACAAGUUAAAAGAGAGCUUUUGGGAGCACUCACUGCUUUAAUGGUUGAGAAGAAUUACUUAAUUGGAGUAAGUAUGGUUUUGGAAAUAGAUUGUUUGCCAUUACUUAGAAUGAUAAUUAACUUUACUACUCCAGAUAUUGCCAUGUUAAGAUGGAUAGUCUACAUAAGAACAUUGAAUCCUGUUUUAGUAUAUAUCACUAGCAAAGAAAAAUUGGUGGCGGAUAUGUCGUCUAGAGCUAGAUAUACCUUCAAAGAGGAAAUGAUGGCACACGAAGGAGGUAAAGAUCAAGAAGAGAAGAAUUAUGGAAAUUCAUUUGAUACUGGUGGAAUGGAUUUUGGUGAUAAGAUUCAAAAAUUCUAUGAAGGUUUCUAUGAAGGCAGAUUGAAGGAUAUUGAAAUUUAUUUAAGUACAAUGAAGAAACAAGAAGGGUCGAUGGAUAAAACCUUCAAAGAUAUUAGACAUCAAUCCUAUGGUUAUUUGCUUAGAGAUAGAUUCCUAUGGAAGAGGCCAAAAAAAAGAGAUAAAAUCCCAUUGAAGAUAGUAGGAGAUUUUGAAACUAAGUUUAAGAUUUUAAGAGAAUAUCAUAAUAUACUUUGGAUAGGACACAGGGGAGUUUGGGCUACAUAUACCAAGAUCAAGGAAAGGUAUUAGUAAAAGGGUUUAUACAGGGAUGUAGAAGACUUUGUGAGCUCCUGCAUAGAGUGUCAACUACAAUCUAGAGUUAAGUACAGAGAUGGAUUACAUCCUACUUAUCCACCUUCAAUACAUUUUCAAUGGGUGAUUGAUUUGGUAGCUAUGCCAUUAGGACUUUGAAGUAUAAAAUAUUUAGUUUUGGCAAGAGAAGAGCUAUCAAAUUAUGUUGAAGGGAGGGCUUUGAAAACCAAGACUACAAAAGUAAUAUGCAAAUUUAUAUUGGAAGACAUCUUUAGUAGAUAUGGUAGCAUUGGGAGGAUGAGAGCUGAUAGAGGAGAAUUGGAUGCUGUUGAAGCAAGAGAAUUUUCAACAAGUAUAAAGUUCAAUUGAAGUUGACUACUUCUUAUAAUCUUGAAGCCAAUGGAAAGAGUGAGAGGGGUCAUCCUCCUAUCAUUUAUGCAUUGGUUAAGGCAUGUAAAGGUAAGUCAAUUCAAUGGCCUAAACUGCUUCUAUUUGCUUUAUGGGCUGAUAGAACUACUCACAGUACUGUCACUAAUUAUAUGCCCAUGGAAUUAAUAUUAGGACAAAAACCUAUGAUGCCAGUUGAAGAAACUUAACCUACAUGGAUGUUUUUAUCUUCAAAAGAUGAUAUAAAUAGAGAAAGAUUAUUAGAGGUUCGAAUCCAACAAUUGGGUAGGUUACUUGAAGACCUAUAAAUUACAGCUGAGAGGUUCAAGAAAGUAAAGAUUGAAAAAUAAAGAAAGAUUUGAUAAGACUCAUAAGUUGAGAUCUAAGCCUAUAGAGAUUAGAGACUGGGUUUUAGUUUAUGAUAGCAGCCUUGAGCAUCUACAUAGCACUUUAAAGAAAUUUACAAAAAAAUAGUUUGGACCAUAUGUGGUGAUAACAGUACAUGUGUCAAGGACAAAGACUCGAUGAGGGAAAAUAUACACAAAAAAGCUAUCUCGAUAUAAUAAGUCAAAAUAUAAACAAGUAGGUAUAUUAAAAGGAAACUGGAAUGGCUAUUGCCACAAGACAAGAAACUAAAGACUCUUGAACCUGGACUAGAAGCAAGAAAGGAGUUGACAAGAGUGAAGAAGCCUUCACUCUUGUCUCUAUAUAUACUAUCUAACUAAGGGCUACGUGGCGACGUUCUAUAGGACCUCCAAUAUGUGUUGACUUUGUAGGACACAUUCCUUGACUUACAAGGCAAGUUUUUCUACGUGUGGGCGACAUAAUUAGCUUGAUCUUCAAGCUAACAACAUGUGUGGCACAUGGCCAACUUGUUGACCACGUUUCUAAUCCAAAAAGUCAAUUAAAGACACCUAUGAAGUCAAAGCAGCGUCUAAGAAGUUUCUAGGAAGCUUCUAUAUUAAAUAUUAUAGAAUUAACUUACUUUUAUCUACUUUUACUUACUUCUACCUAUUUCUAUAUGUAAUUAUUAGCUUACAUGAUUAUGGCCGUGACAACAUGAUAAUGCCACAUAUACUUUACGUGAGUUAGAUGGAACUAUCAUAAGGAAUCCAAUAGCUGAAAACUUUCAAGAAAAGAGAUGGAUUAUUUCAAAUAGAAGACCUUUAAGAAUUCUUACUUCAAUAUUUAGACCAAGAAGAUGAAGAAAAAGAGCCUAUGAGUAAUUCAAAGAAAUCUCAAGAAGAUGAAGAAGAGUAACAUGUAGCACAUAGUGGAGGAUGUGCAAGUUUGGAGGGGGUGGAUGUCGUAUUGUAAAUGCUUACAAUAUGUAAAAAUUAGUUAGAAAAUAUUAUAUGUUAAUAAAUCUAGAUGUGUGUUAGAGUGGCUAGUAGAUUAAAUUAAAAGGAGUUGAUAUAAGAAACUUUACUUUGUUUCUUUACUUGUUUUGAUUUUGACAUUAAAAAAAUAUAUAUAUAUAUAAGACCUAAAUGUUUAGUAUGAAGCCUUGGGAGAAGGUGGAAGCCUAAGGAUGAAAAUCUAAACUAAUAGGAGGCUAAUUGGGAGGGAUGAAAGUAAGGCAUGGUCGGAUGAAGAUAAGGAAUGGAGAACUUCAUCCCUAUUGGUCGAAUACCAUGUCCAAUGGACUUUGAAGAGGUUGCUCGUAACCUUAAGAAGGGUUUCGGUGACUUCAAAGAGAGCAUUCGGAGAAAAUAAGCUGGGAUUGUAAAGUUUAAGAUUUGAGGUAAAAUUUGUGUGCAAAAAUUAGAGGAUUUGGAAUUAGGGUGAAAAAUUAUAGCCGUUUGAAGUUAAGAUGUUUAUUUAAGAUAUAUUGUCUCUUUUGAGAGUACGAGGAGUUUUACAGCAGCUUUUGAAGAUCGAAAGGUGCGACUGGAAUGGUGAUUUUAAGACCUACAUCUUUUAUGAAAGAAUUAUUGCUUUUGGAAUUCAUAUGAAAGAGUUGUAAGGAGUUGAAGGCGGCACUUCCAAAUCAAAGGCAGUAAGUAAGCGGUUUUGUUUGUAGUAAUAGUUGGAGCCCUAACUUGAGUUUUUUGACAAAUUUUUGGCUCAAACUUAUUGGAGAAUGUAAAAUUUUGUGUUAAAAAGCUAUACAUACAAAUUUCGUGGCAUUUGAGCUUAUAUUUUGUGAGAUAUGAAGAAAAUUGCAUGCAAGUAUAUAAAGAGAAGGAUUUGAAGCGACUGUUAGGGUUUUCAAGAUAUCUCAAGAUGUGCAACGAAUUUAUAGUUGAAAUUUGUUGUAGAAGUUAAUAAGAAUAUAUAAAUACCUCAUGUAAAAUUUGAGUUUGUUUGGAUGGUCGGAUUAGGAAAUAUAAGGUGUUGAAGUUUAGAAAAAUCUCCACACAAGAAUAAACAAGGUUUUAGAAGAUUUUAUCAUAUUUUGGAAGUUGUGGGUUACUUGAGGAUUGUGUAUUUGGUGUAAUUAUUCAAAAAGGAAAAAUUAUAUAUAAACUUAGGGCUUCCCUUAUUUUCAAGCUUGAUCGAAUAAUAAGUGACAGCCAGAAGCCCAACGUUAUCUUGAGGCAAACUCUCUCUACUCCGAUAACCUGUGUAGCCAAUAAUGGCAGAACUGAAGAUAUUUGGUUAAGAUGGCUACUAAUGACAUUGAAAGACACAGUGUUUGAGUAGUAUAACUGCCGACCUGUGGGACAAUUUAUCAAUUAGGAGGCAUUGAAAAAUACAUUUUUAGUCCAUUUUUGACCAAUUGGUUUUGAAGAACGUCUUAGAGAAAAAUUAAUGAACAACAGAAUGGUACCAAGGGAAGCGGUAUAGUCAUAUUAUGGUCAUGUAGCAGAUAUACUUCGAAAAUGGCCAAAUAACCCAAAUGCCGAAAUCGUUUGUAUUGUCUGUAUUGGUUAAUGGACUACAUCCACCAGAAUUGAAGAUGUUUGUAAAGGAGGCCCAAUCAGCCACCAUUGCAUCAUCUCUUGAGCGAGCAAAAGUAUGGGAGGAAUGUCACUAUGAUCAGAACUUAACAGUUGGAGCCACAAUGAUUCCAUCUCAAGGAGGUUAUCAAAUGACAAAUUGCAAUGAUGCAUCGAAAAGUUAUUUGGGAAGGAAUGAUUAUGGUACAAUUCCAGAGGGAACAGUAGAUGUUGUCCCAUUGCAGGCUGUACCACCAUCAUCAUCACCCAUAUGCGCCUUAUUCUGCAUAUCAAAAACCAAUACCUAUGAAAGAAUUACCAAAUGCAUUGGUAUCAAGGGAUCCCAAUGAAUCAUUGCUAUUAAUAUUGACAAAAAAAAUGGAUGAAUUGGCUGUGAAUUUGGCCAAGGAUAAAGAAAAAAAGGCAUAAACCAACCAACAUGCGUCCCAAUGUCUGGUAUAGCAAUUGUAAGGGACAAGGUCAUUUAGUAAUAGAAUGUUCUUCACUACCCCAAAUGACUAUAUUAUGUACCUUUUGCGGAGGCAAGCAUAUUACCACCAACUGUUGGAAUUUAGGAAAACAACAAUAACUCAGUAACCAGAUAAUGACUCAACCAACUUCGUAGGAUGUCAAUCAAGUACAAACGAAUAAUAGGUUUGGCUAGAAUAGAAAUCGAGCAAAUAAAAAAACAAGAAUUAUUCUAAUUUCUUAAACUCUAAAUUUCACCAAGAAAGUGUAUCCAAUACUCACAAAUUGGCGAUGAACUAAGCAGGAUACCAUCAAUAUCCAUCCAUGACGAAGCCAAUGCCACAAUCUACAGUAACAAUGGAUCAACUAGGAUCUUUUAUUCAUCCGACAUGGAACAGACCUAGCCAUUAUAUAUUAGUAGAGACACCCAAUAUCCGUGAAGGAGUUGGCAGAAAACCACUUCGUUGCUAUUGUUGCAGAAAAAUCAAACAUUGUGCAAGUAAAUGUCUUAAUUCAAGGGCCAGUGAUGACUAUACUCCAAUAUGUGGAAAUUGUAAGCAGCGUGGUCACACUUAUCAGUAGUGCAAUAUGCCUUUUAAUUAUAAUAAUCGGAACCAACAAAUGUAAACAAGCCAACCAACGGAGGAUAAAGGUCUUGUUCAACGAGACUCACCAGUAUAUCAUGUUGAGGUGGUGAACGUAGUGCUUACUAGAGGCCAACAAAAAGACAAGAAUCUAAUUCAGGACUUGGAUGAACCAAUCGUAGGAGAGCAAGUAGUACCAUCCAUGGAGCUAAACGAACCAAUAUCAGUAUUGGGACGCAUCCCAAUAUUGAGAUUUCAACAGACUGUGGAACCCAAUUCGGUUCCAUGUGCCAAUUUUUCGAGACCAUCAAGAAUGAUCUCAAGUGACCAACUACCAAUACCUGUACAGCCCAAUAAAAGAUCUUACGCAUUAAACGAACCUUUAGUAGUAGAAAAGUUGGCGAUAUUACCAACGGCAAUCUCAAUCGCAAGGAAGGAAGUGCUGCCAAACGGAAUAAAAUUGAAACCAAUGAAACUCAAAAGAGCAUUGAAAAUUACUCUCAAUAUGGAACCCUACGACAUUCUGAAGGAUUUGGAUGUUAUUCAGCCUUCAAUUAUAAUAAAGCAACUUUUGGCUGUAGCACCGGAAUAUGGAUCUACAUUGAAUUCAGUGCUAAUAUGACGAAGAUUCCACACUAAAGAAAUUCAUGAAAUUAGCUUAAACCCAGAUCCGGGAGCACCAACAAUCAAUGUAUCAAUCGAUGGCAUUUUAAUUCCAGGGGUAUAAGUCAAUGGUGGCUCCAGUGUGAAUUUAAUGAACGCUCUCCUGUUGUAACACGUCUAUAUGAUGAAAAUAUAAAUGAAGAAGAUUUAUUAAUAUUUAGUCACCUUAAAUGUUAGAAGCAACGGCCAAUUCCAGAGCAAAUAUUGAGAGGCCAGGUUCAGUUACCCCGUUAUGGUCAACCGGGGCAUACUCACCAAUAACGAUAUGCUCCAUUCGAUUUCAGUAACGGAAGUCAGCAGGAAAGAAAAGGACCAAUUUAACGUCGGGUGAGCCUGGUUUGAAGAGCCAAUUGGAUCCAAUUUCAGAAGAUAUCUAAUCUAGGUCCUAUUACGGGCCUCUUACCUAAUAUGAGACCUGACUUGGUCGGGCAACCCAAUGCGGUCCAAUUACACGGCUUCGAUUCCAUUUCAGGUAGUUUUGUUCUUUGUGCCAUUCCAAAAACGUCCUUUCUGUAAAAGAAUCUCUUAAAGGUAAAAAUGGAGGAGAAAAAGCGAGGUCGGCUGUUCCAAUUUGGGGAGUCUAAGGUGAAAGAAUAGGAUCUUCUCAGGGUAAAAGGGGAGGAUAGGUUAAGAAAUGGAUUUUUUGAGAAUCGGAGGUUUUAGGUUGAAGAGCUAGCUUCAUGCUUUCGAAAAAAGACAGAAAUUGGGGUUUUUUUUUAUAGGAUUUUGGAGAGACUGAGAGGAUGGUUGUUGAAAGUCAGUGUUAUAUUGGUGAACUGGAUUUUUUUCGGAAGGGAGAAAAGGCUGGUACUCUUGAUUGUUGAUGGAAUGGGAGAUACUUCUGUGGUUGAAAUUCAAAGUUGUCUAGAAGGUUGAGUAUGCUGAAUGUAUGCGUGGUUGUAUUAAUCUAACUGUACGGAUAGAGGAUAUCUGCCAACAGUUUAAAGAGGUAUUGGAAGUUAGAAAAUUGGGGGUUGUUUAGGAUUUCUGUGAUAACUGGGGACCUACCGACAGAGAUAAGAAGAAUAUCGGCGAGCGGCCAAGGAACAUCGGUGCGGAUUGCAGCAUAGCCUCACAAUCUGUAAGUGGGUUUGAACUGGAACUUCUUAAGCAUUCGAAAGGGCUUGCAGAGACACUAGCAAUAGAUGUUUCACAACAAGUCGGAAGGACAGAUUGAGGAUCACAGCUUGCCAAAGUUCACGGUCUAGGAUUAAAGUAAUUAACGAUAAAGAUAAAAUAAAAAACAUAAAAUAAAUAAAAUAAAAUAAAAAUAACAAAAGAAAUUGAAGUUAUAUAGGGUCUCUAGGCGUUUUAUAUUGAAAUUAAGCUUUUACAUUGUAAUCUGAUAUAGAUUGUAUUUGGGUAGUAAUGAACCCGAUAGACUCCUUGAGUACUAGCGAAACACCAUACUACCUCCUACAGUCAGACGUCCGACACGUUCUCAAGCAAGAUAAUACAUAAUACGACAUAAGUGGUGAAUCCAACGUGAAAGCUUGAGGUGGAAGGUAUUGGAUUUCGUUUGAUUUUAUUUUUGUUUUUAUGGAAAACGAAAAUAAAAAUUUUGAAGGAUCUUUGGGAGGAGUUUCUGGUGGGGGUUCUUCUAAAGGACAAGAUAUGCACAUGGAUCUGUCUAUUGCUACUAUGUUUCAAGCCUUCUCAUUAUCAAUGGAGCAACAACAAAGCAAUGAUCAAAAAGAAGCUUUGGCAACCAAAGCAUUGCAAGCAGUGGUCAAUAAAAUUGAUCAAUUUGAUGGAAGGAAUAUUUCAAGGUAUUUAAGAUGUUAUGUUCGUGAAAUGGAAUUAAAUUGGGUUUCUGAGAAGAAAAUGGUUGAAUUAUUUGGACUUGCCACGAUACCGGAGAUAAGAGACCAUAUUACAUCGAUUACGGAUCAUUAUGGGAAUUCAUGGGAGGUUUUUUCACAUGCAUUGAGAGACUAAUAUUUCUUGAAAGAUGUUGAUCGCAUUACUAAAAAGCUGUUUCUGGAAUGGAUUGAACGGCUUAAUAAGAAUUUGCAAGCAAUAGAACUACUAAGAAAAUUUGAAAGGCAGUACUCUCAAUUAUCGAAGGUAGAAAAAUUAACAUUAGAGCCGAACAAAGUUGAUCUAUUUCUUCAAGCUCUUGAUGGAGAAUUGCAAGAGAAAUUGGAAUUCCUUCUUGAAGACAAAGAAGAAGAUGAAGGAUUGACUACAAAGUAGAAGAACGUUGAAGAUGCAGUGGGGUUGCUUGCAAAAAGAGAAAAGAGAAAGGAUAGGAGCAAUAUUCCAAAAAUAAUACAAGCACCCAAAACUCUAGUACGUACAACACCACCAACAAUGCCUAUAGUUCAACCUUCGACAUCCUUAUAAAAGAAAGCAGAUAUGGGGAUGGAAGAAAUUAUACGAGGAAUGUGAGAUCUUCAAAUCAAAUUGGCAAGACUUGAAGAGAAUACUUCUACAAAUAAUUUGAAGAAUGUUUCAAAACAAGGAUAUGUACAAAGAUGCAUUUGGUGUGAUGAUGCUUCAUACACUAGGAAAGAUUGCAAUGAAUUUAAUAAUAUGAUACGGCAAGGAAUUAUUUGCUGGAAAGAUGGGAAGAUAGCAUUAAGAAAUAGGGAGGAUCUUCUUCAAACCAAUUUUGGCAAGGGAAGAAUGAGAGCAUUGGUUCAAGUUUACCUAAAAGAGCAUGAAACAGCAGCACGAGAAAGUGCAAGUUAUGGUGCUAGAGUAGAUGAUGACCUUAGUAGAAGUACGGAAACUAGUGAGUUUUGGGCUUCUACCAUUUCUACAAUACAAGAAGAGAAAUUACCUCGAGAAGCGUUAUUGAGGACUGCAGCUACAAUACGAGGUGCAACAGGUUGGGGGGAUUCUGUUGAGUCUCUUUCAGUUCAUGCAUAUAUUGCUAAGAGCCAACAUGAAGCUUUGAUGGAAGAAAAGAGACGAGGAAAUUUUGAUGAUACUAGAGGAGGAAAUUCUUCUAAGAGGCAAACUCGAGGAGACAAGGCUCGGGAGGCAGCUUCACAAGAAUUACCUGUAAAGGAUACCUCAGCAUCAUUGGGAGAAAAAACAAAGGAGACAAAAGAUAAGGGCAAAUCAAUUGCUUAUAAGCUACUUUCUGACAUUGAAGCGGCAACAAAUUUGAAAGGGAUGUUGGAAGAACGUAUAUUAAACGCUAAGGUAGAAUUCACAUUGAAAGAAGUUUUGGGAAUUACAAAGAAAGAGUUUCAUGAUGUUAUCAUUGACAGCAUUAAGCGAAAGAGGCAAUUAAUGGGCAAAACUAGAAUGAGUCAUGCCAUUGAUGCAAAAAUAUAUAAAGAUGAAGAAGAGGUUGAUAUUGGUUACAAGCAAUCAACAAAUGAAAAGAAUGGGUAUAAUCAACAAGUACAUUUCAAAGAUUAUAGUGAUAAGGAAAUGGAAACUUUGAGCCAUUAUACUCGAAAGUAUUGGGUAAGGGUAACUACUGAGGUAUUGGUGAAAGUAGAAGAUAUAGAAGAACCAAUUGUUGCUUUAGUCGACUAUGGUUCUGAAAUAAAUCUUAUGUCUAAAGAUCUUUAUAAGAAGCAAAAAUGGCCAAUUGAUAUGGAACAUGGAUGGGCAAUACGAGCAACUAAUAACACCUGGGACGAAUUAUAUGGAGCUUGUUCAGAUGUCAAAAUUUGGAUUGGAGAUGUUGCGAUGGAACAACAUUUUUUUGUUUAAGAUAUAACGUCUUAUCCGUUGAUUUUAGGACAACCUUAUAUUACGGCAACACGGAUGGAAACAAAAGUACUUGACAAUGGUUCUGCUUAUGCAAGGGUACAUAACGAAGAUGAGAGGAAAGCUAUACAAUUUCUAACAAUAUCUCCUAACCAUGAACGGAAUCCAGAUAGGUUGAAGGAGAAACCAUUGCCAAAGAUUGUUGAAGGAUUUAAGGAUUUUCGGGAGGUACCACUAUAAAGCGAGAUUAUGGAGGUACAAAAGAAGAGGUACUCUCACGAGAUGAAGGUGCCUUUGAUGCGAGUUUUAUUGGUAUUUUGGAGAAUGGAAAUAUUAUGUAUAAGAAAGUUGAUGAUUUUAAAAGAAAAGAAAGAAAAAGAUUAUAUAAUAUUGAAGGAGAAUUAUGCAAGUUAGGUACAUUGCAAGAUGAUGAGAGGAUUUUAGGUAUUUAUGAAGAAAAUGGACUGGAAGAUUCAUUGGAAUUGAUUACAUCUAUUAGGUUAGGGGAUAAUGAUAAGAUUGUUGAGAUUCAUUCAAGAGAGGUUUAUACCAUACUUGAAUCUUUUCAAGUACCAGAAGUCACUAUAGAGACGAGAUAUAAAAAGGCAGAUAAGAAGGUAAAGCCUGUUGCCGGACCAUUACCAGAAGAUUGUAAGGAACAAAUAGGAGAAGCAUCAAAAGAAGGAAGUUUAAGAGAUCCAAUGAGUAUUAGACAUCAGUUUAUUAAAGAGACUUUUGAAGAAUUGAAGAUUGGUUCUGAUGGUUCUUUAUUGCCGGAGGAAAUUACUUGCUUCAAAAAGAUGUUGACUAAAUAAGGUAGAUCAUUUGCUUUCGACUCUUAUGAAAUUGGGUGUGUGGAUCCGAAUAUUAUAACACCUAUGGUUAUCUUCACUAUAACAUAUGUACCUUAGAAUCUAAGACUAAUUCUAAUAUCGAGGGCACAUUUACCUAAAUUAGUGGAAAUAUUAAAAUAAAAGAUGAAGAUGAAAUAUUGAAACUCUCAUUUGUGCCGUAUUCUAGUCGAUGGUUUAUGGUACCUAAGAAGAAUGGGUCACUAUGGUUUAUUCAAGAUAUGCAACUGGUGAGUGUAGUAACUGUCAGAAAUGCAGGAAUUGGAUCUAUUGUAGAUGAAUUUGCAGAGGCAUUUGCUGGAAGGGUGAUCUAUUCAAUGCGUGACUUGUAUUCAGGUUAUGAUCAAUUUCAACUUCUCGAAGGAAGUAGAGAUGUGACAACGAUGAGGACACUACUUGGAUUGGUUAGAAUGUGCACUAUUUCUCAAGGCGCGACCAAUUCAAUUGCGCAUAUGAUGAAUGGGAUGAAUAAGGUAUUGAGAGAUUUUAUUCCGGAGAAGACUAUGCCUUUUUUGGAUGAUGUUCUUAUAAAAGGAUGUAGAGAAGGAGACAAGGAUGAAACUUUAGAUAAAAGGGGAUGUUGCAAAUAUGUUGUUGAUCAUAUACAAGAUUGUGAAAAGAUUUUAACUCGGUCUGGAGAAGUUCAUCUUACAUUAUCGGAUAUGAAGUCUUUAUUUGGAGUACAAGAGGUUGUGAUUGUUAGACAUUUAUGUGGAUCUUACGGAAGAAAACCAGAUUCGACUAAAGUUGAUACAAUUGGAAGGAUGAAAGAGGAUUGUGAUUCUUUAACAGAGGUUCGCAGGUUUUUAGAUGCAUGUAUAUUUUAUCGAAUUUGGAUCCCUCAUUAUGCUCACAUAGCGGAUCCAUUAUAUGAAUUGUUACGCAAGGGCUACCGAUUUAAAUGGAAAGAAAGGCAUAUUUAGGUAAUUCAAAGAUUGAAGAAAUUAUUGAUGUCACCUCCAAUAUUGAGGAAGGUUGAUUAUAAGUGCAAUAUACUAGUGAUUCUUACUGUAGACACUAGUCCAAUUGCCAUUGGAUGGGCUGUGGGUCAAGAUGAUUCAAGUGGGAAUAGAUUUGUAGUUUGAUUUGGACCUAAAGUUUUAAGUACUCGUCAGCGUAUAUAUUUGUAAGUCAAAAGAGAACUUUGGGGAGUUGUUUCGGCUAUGAAAGCUGAAAAGGACUAUUUGAUUUUGGCAGUAGUAGUAAUUGAAACAAAUUGCUUGCCAUUGCUUGAAAUGAUUACUAACUGUUCAACGCCAGAUAUUGCAAUGUUGAGAUGGAUUGCUUAUAUUAAGUCACUAAAUCCAGAAUUUAAGCAUAUUACUAGGAAAGAUAAUUUAGUAGCAGACAUGCUAUCUUAAGCAAGAUACGAGAGGGAGGACAAAAUGGUUGAAGACAUUGAUGACGUCAGAUUGAAAUUCUAUUCAAUAUCAAAUCUCAACAGAGAAGACAAGCUAUUUCUUGAAGAAUCUUAUGAAGGAGAAUUAUUGGAUAUUGGUCAUUACUUGAAUACCUUAACUAAGCAGGAGAAUUGAUCUACAGAAAAAUUCAAACAAAUAAGAAAAAAAGCAUAUAGAUUUUUGCUUCGAGAUGGAUUCUUAUGGAAGAGAUCGAAGAAAGGAAUUGAGAUGCUACAACGAGUGAUAGGCAAAAAGGAAGAAAAACUAAAAUUAUUAAAGGAGUUUCAUGAUAGUUUAUGGGUAGGGCAUAGAGGAAUCUGGGCUACUUUUGCUAAACUCAAGGAAUGAUAUUGGUGGAAAAAUAUGUAUCGAGAUGUGCUCUCAUUUGUAAAGUCAUGUGAAAUCUGUCAAUCGUAUUCUAAUAUCCGACAUCGAGAUGGUCUUCAUCCUACGUAUCCUCUAGCUAUUCAUUUUAAAUGGGUUGUUGAUUUGGUUAUUAUGCCAGUUGGAUUCUGGCAGAUGAAAUAUUUUGUCUUAGCUCGUGAAGAUUUAUCAAAUCAAGUAGAAGGAAGAGCAUUGAGGACAAAAUCUACAGAGGAGAUUUAUAGGUUUUUGCUUGAAGAUGUCAUUUGCCGCUACGGAUGCAUAGGAAAAAUCACUACUGAUCAUGGAGAAUUAAAUGCACAAAAAGCUCAUAAGUUCUUUGAAAGAUGUGGAAUUAAACUAUCACUGACUACUACUUAUAAUCCAGAAGGGAAUGCAAACAGUGAACGUGGUCACCCACCGAUUGUGAAAGCAUUAGUUAAAGCUUGUAAUGGGAAAGUUAGAGAGUGGCCACGGCUUUUGUCAUUUGCAUUAUGGGCUGAUCGAACAACACAUAGUUCGGUGACAGGAUAUAUGCCAGUAGAACUUAUGACAAGUCGAAAACCAAUUAUGUUGAUUGAAGAAAAGAUACUUACUUGGAGUAUGCUACCACAGGAAGAUGGAUUGACAAGAAAAGAACUUCUGGCUAUUAGGAUUCGACAAUUGGAGCAAAGAUCGGAAGAUGUGCAGAUAGCAUUAGAAAGGUUAAAAAGAGCAAGGUUACAAAAUAAGGAACAAUUUGAUAAGCAACGUCGAUUGAGACCUAAAGCAAUUGAAGAAGGUGAUUGGAUACUUGUUUAUGAUAGUAGUUUGGACAACGAAUAUAGCACUUUACGAAAGUUUUCAAAACGUUGAUUUGGACCGUAUAUAAUAACAACUGUUCAUGAUAAUGCGACUUACUCAUUGCAGGAGUUAGAUGGCACAAGGUUAAAAAUACCAAUUACAGGAAAGAGAUUGAAAUUGUUUAAACAAAGAUAUGUAGAAAUAAAUAUAGAAGACCUUAAUGAAGACAUAGAUAUUCCGUAGUGAGAAGAUGAAAUUGACUGGAUAGCAGAGACAAUGAAGAUAGACUAGACAAAGAUUUGGAGAACAUAUUAUGAAUCAAACGGCAACUAGGUUAAUUGUUGCAUAUCGGAGGAUGCACACGUUCAGAGGGGCUGGAUGUCGUGUUGUAACACGUCUAUAUGAUGAAAAUAUAAAUGAAGAAGAUUUAUUAAUAUUUAGUCACCUUGGAUGUUAGAAGCGACAGCCAAUUCCAGUGCAAAUAUUGAGAGGUCAGGUUCAGUUACCCCGUUAUAGUCAGCCGGGGCAUACUCACCAAUAACGAAAUACUCCGUUCGAUUUCAGUAACGGAAGUCAGCAGGAAGGGAAAGGACCAAUUCAACGUCGGGUGAGCUUGGUUCCAAGAGCCAAUUGGAUCCAAUUUCAGAAGACAUCUAAUCUAGGUCCUAUUACGGGCCUCUUACCUAAUAUGAGACCUGACUUGGUCGGGCAACCCAAUGCGGUCCAAUUACACGGCUUCGAUUCCAUUUCAGGCAGUUUCAUUCUUUGUGCCAUUCCAAAAACGUCCUUUCUGUAAAAGAAUCUCUUAUAGGUAAAAAUAGAGGAGAAAAACCGAGGUCGGCUGUUCCAAUUUGGGGAGUCUAAGGCGAAAGAAUAGGAUCUUCUCAGGGUAAAAGGGGAGGAUAGGUUAAGAAAUGGAUUUUUUGAGAAUCGGAGGUUUUAGGUCGAAGAGCUAGCUUCAUGUUUUCGAAAAAAGACAGAAAUUGGGGUUUUUUUUAUAUAGGAUUUUGGAGAGACUGAGAGGAUGGUUGUUGAAAGUCAGUGUUAUAUUGGUGAACUGGAUUUUUUUCGGAAGGGAGAAAAGGCUGGUACUCUUGAUUGUUGAUGGAAUGGGAGAUACUUCUGUGGUUGAAAUUCAAAGUUGUCUAGAAGGUUGAGUAUGCUGAAUGUAUGCGUGGUUGUAUUAAUCUAACUGUACGGAUAGAGGAUAUCUACCAACAGUUUAAAGAGGUAUUAGAAGUUAGAAAAUUGGGGGUUGUUUAGGAUUUCUGUGAUAACUAGGGACCUACCGACAGAGAUAAGAGGAAUAUCGGCGAGCGGCCAAGGAACAUCGGUGCGGAUUGCAGCAUAGCCUCACAAUUUGUAAGUGGGUUUGAACUGGAACUUCUUAAGCAUUCGAAAGGGCUUGCAGAGACACUAGCCAUAGAUGUUUCACAACAAGUCGGAAGGACAGAUUGAGGAUCACAGCUUGCCAAAGUUCACGGUCUAGGAUUAAGGUAAUUAACAAUAAAGAUAAAAUAAAAAACAUAAAAUAAAUAAAAUAAAAUAAAAAUAACAAAAGAGAUUGAAGUUAUAUAGGGUCUCUAGGUAUUUUAUAUUGGAAUUAAGCUUUUACAUCGCAAUCCGAUAUAGAUUGUAUUUGGGUAGUCAAGAACCCGAUAGACUGCUUGAGUACUAGCGAAACACCAUACUACCUCCUACAUCCAGAUGCCUGGCUCAUUCUCAAGCAAGAUAGCACGUAAUAUGACAAUGCGGAUACAAUGGAGGACUUGGAUCUAAAGCAAUUGCUACCUAUGACAUUGGUCUUGCAUAUGGCAGAUCAUAGUCGGAUAAAACUAAUAAGAAUCUUACGUAAUAUUGCCAUUGUAAUCGUGAGAUUGACAUACAAAAUUGAUUAUAUUGUAUUCCAAUUACAAAGUUGUACAUUAUCGUAUCCCAUUUUAUUGAGCAAACCUUGACUUUAUCAAGCCAAAGCUAAGAACGAUUGGGGCCAAGGCAUAUUGAUAAUUGGAAUAGGCCGAGACCAGAUUGUUCUACAAAUAUACCCGGUACAAUACCAUGAAAAAUCUCAAUUGCCACAAUCAGAAUUUACAUCGGACAACAGGAGUCAAUCGAUUAAAGAAGAUGACGAUACUAUAGAUUCAUCGCAAUUUGGGGUAGGACAAAACACUUCAACAGCAAAGGCAGGAGUCUAUCAAUGUGGAGGUCAUGACAAAUAUUUAUUGCAUUAAGAGGAUGUGACUAACUUAGAUCAUGCUAUUGCCGAAUGGAUGAACGAUUUCGCAGUCAAUAUAGUCAACACAUUGGAACCAGAUUUGGGUGGUUUUUAUAUGUCGAAUAAUACAAGAUAUUCAGAUCAAGAGAAGACAAUGAAAUCAGAGGUUGUUGAAGAUCCUGUGUAUCAAUCUAUUAACCUGGGUACCAACGAAAUGCCACAGCUAAUUAAAAUAUAUGCUUGUAUUAUAGGUACAGAAUUAGAUGCUUAGAAACAGUUUUUUGUCGAUUACAAAUCUACCUUUGCGUGGUUGUAUGCGGAUUUGAAAGGGAUUCCAGUCGACAUGUGUGAGCAUCAAAUUAUUUUGGAGGAGGGUGUUAUGCCAGUUCGUUAAAGACAACACCUACUUAACUCAAAAUAUUCUCUUUUAGCAUAAGAAGAAUUGGAUAAACUUCUCGACGUGGUUUUAUAUAUUCUGUUCUGUAUAGUACAUGGGUGUCACUAAUCAUGAUGGUAUCGAAGAAGAAUAGAAAAAUCAGAAUAUGUCAAGAUUUUUGAAAAUUAAAUGCAGCUACUAAGAAGAAUUAUUUUCUGUUACUAUUUAUAGAUAGUAUUUUGGAUGUAGUGGCCGAACAUGAAUGUUACUCAUUUUUGGAUGGAUUUUCGGGAUAUAAUCAAAUUAAAAUUGUGAAAGAAGACUUGUUGAAGACUAUGUUUACUACAGAUUGGGAUACAUUUGCCUAUAAAGUAAUGCCAUUUGGAUUAUGUAAUGCCCCAGCUACUUUUCAACGGAUAAUGACAUAAGCAUUUCAAGAUUACCUACGUUUAUCAAUAGAGAUAUUUUUGGACGAUUUCUGCACCUUUAGCACAACGGCUAAAUAUCUAACAUGCCUAGAUAACUAUUUGAAUCAAUGCGACAAGUAUGGGAUAUCUCUAAUUUUGGAGAAGUGUCAAUUUGGCGUACCAUCGGGAAAGCUAUUGAGACACAUUGUAUCUGUUGAAGGUAUCGCUUUGAACCCUGAUAAAAUUACUCAUAUAUUGGAUUUAUCAAAGCUAGAUACGGUAUCGAGCAUGUGUGGUUUCAUCGGCCAUGUUAGCUACUAUCCACGUUUUAUUGAAUUCUUUGUGAUUAUCUAUCAACCGUUAAUCCAAUCAUUAAAGAAACCCCCAUCACACGAAUCUAGUCCAAUAUGGACUGAAGACUGUACUUUUGCAUUCGACGAAUUGAAAUAGAAAUUGGUAUCUGCUUCAAUUCUUGUAACACCUUGUUGGACAAAACCAUUUCAUGUCUAUGAGGAUGCAUCCAAUGUUGCUAUGGGAUCCAUUCUCAGUCAAAAGGAUGAAAAAUGAUUAGAUCAUCCCAUAUAUUAUGCAAGCUGAUAAUUCGUUGCUGCAGAAUAAAAUUAUCAUACUACCAAGCGAGAAGCCCACGGAAUGAUCUACUCUAUACAGAAAUUCUACCACUAUUUACUUAGAUACCCAUUUGUGUUCUACGUUGAUCAUGAUGCACUUAAGUACAAGAUAAAUAAACCUCAAUUGAAUGGAUAAAUUGCUCGAUGGAUAUUACUUCUCCAAGAAUUCAACUUUACGAUUAACGUUCGACCCGACAAGAAACAUAUCAAUGCAAAUCACUUAUCUCGUUUAUCUAAUAUAUUGGAUAAUGAGCCAAUAAACGAUGUUCUUUCGGAUGCACAACUAUUCGUUGUGGAUGUCAUUACACCCAAAUAUGGUGAAUUGAUCUAAUAUCUAACGUUUCAGGUUUUUUCUAUUUUUUAUAAUGAAAAAUUAAAGAAGCGUCUGAUUUUAAAAAGUGCGUCGUAUACCAUGAUUGGCGAUGCCCUGUACAAACAAGAGCGAGAUGGAAUUUUACGCUAUUGCAUCUUUCAAAGUGAAGUUCGUACAAUUUUGGAAGGAUGUCAUUUGGACACUUAUGGAUGAUAUUUUGCAGAUGAUAGCACCAUACAUAAGGCUUUAAUGGCUGGAUAUUGCUGGCCAAUAAUAUUUUUGGAUGUACACCAAUAUGUUUGUCAUUGUGAUCCUUGUCAACAAAUUGGUCGCUGUAUUGGAACUUCUACAAUGCCAUUGAUACCAAUUUUGGCACAAGCACCAUUCGAAAAAUGAGGUAUUGAUUUUGUCGGACCAAUUGCACUUGCCUCUCGAAAUGGACAUAAACAUUAUAUUCUAGUAGCCACUGAUUAUGUCAUCAAAUGAGUGGAGGCCAUGGCAAUGAAAACUGAUAAUGCCAAUAUCGUAGCAACAUUUUUAUAUGAGAACAUUAUCACUUGUUUUGGCUGUGUGAAAGAAUUGGUUAGUGAUCACGACAUACAUUUUAUAAUGCCACAAUUGAAGCAUUAACAACGAAGUAUGAGAUCAAGCACCACAAAACUACACCUUAUCAUCCACGAGCCAAUGGACACACCGAAAAGACAAACGGUAUGCUAUGUAAGAUCUUAACAAAGACUAUUUCAGGAAUGGAAAUCGAUUGGGACAUUAAAUUGUAUGCAGUUGUAUGGGCGUAUCAUACUGCGUAUAAAGUAACUAUCAAUUCUACUCCAUUUUAAUUGGUAUACGGUCAAGAGGUAAUUCUACCAAUUGAAUUAGAAGUCCAAAGCUUACAAAUUGCGUUGGAUGAACGUCUAGGAGACAGAGAAUCUCUUCAAUAUAUGUUAAUCCAAUUGGAGAAAUUGGAUGAAGCUAGGGCUAUGGCUCUCUUGAACAUAGAAGCUACAUAGCAUCGUAGAAAGAGUUAUUACGACAGUAAGUUAUGGCCGAAAUAGUUUAUGUCCAAUGAUUUGGUGCUAUUUUAUGAUAGCCACUUUAACAACUUUCUUGGUAAAUUUCAAGUAUGAUGGCAUAGGCCAUAUCGAGUAGUGGAAGGUUUUCCUAAUGGUUCCGUUCAAUUGAAAGAUUUUCUAGGAACCCAAUUCACAACACGCGUUAAUGGGAAUUGGUUAUAUUUGUAUUAUAUGUAAACCCGAGACAGAUUUACUCAGUGGAGGGAGGGAGUCUCCGUAAUAAUGAUUACCGACAAGAUUGGAAAGGUUGUGAUAGUUAGGAAACGAUUGAUGGUUAGUUUUGGGUACUCAAACUGACUAGUCAAGAAAUUAGACAUUCUUGAUUAGAUGUGAGAAUAAGGUACAGUAGAUUAGAUGUUCUUAAUUCGGACCCCAAGUAAGCAAUUAGGAGCGGGGCAUUCAUAGAAGGUUUCAUUAUUGCAGAUUUUAGACAUUGUGCUUUGAACUGUAAGCUUUAUGAUAGUAAUAAAUAAUAGUGUUAGCACGAGAAAGUAUUGAGAGUUUGAUUUUCACAAUGUCGAUGGAAAGAGCGAAGAGAGCAUCGAAAUAAUCGAAAAGUCACCGCAAUGUGAGGUCUAAGUGCGAUCUGGUAUCACCGUCUCUUGUAGUUAUUACCAACAUGGAACUGAUGAAGUUAGAUAUCUGUUGAUCAUUGAAAAGGUAAAAAGAUUUUAGAAAUACACAAUUAUUUAUAUUUUUGCAAGGAUCGGAUAAACUACCACCAAUUGAUGUAGAACGAGUGGUGGAAUAUAUAGAAAAUUAUAAUCAAGGAGAUGGUUCGAGUGUGGUAAGAGGAGUCCUGAUUGGGAUAGAUGAGAAUAUCUUACACAAGGUCUUGUAUUUACCAAUCGGAGAGCUUGAGGUGGGAGGAGACGUGUCAAAUGAUUUCAGGCCAGGAAGCUACUUCAAAAGAGGAAUGUCAUCUCUUGAGCGAAAUCAAGGAUGGAAGGUACAGGAGGCACUUACGCCUGAACUUAUGGAAUGGAUACGGUUCAUUCAGAAGCGGUUAGCAUUGAAUCGGCAUACCACCUACAUGGCAAAGCGAUUACUAUUUUUCGUGAUAGGAACACUGAAAGGCAUGGUAUUCAAUUGGGCGGCUUAUAUUCAAUUGGCCACAAGGAUACAUGUAGAAUUGGGAGCUAAGUAAAAGACGGGGAAGUUUGCUUCACUAUUAUGUUUUAAUUAUGUAAACUCAGUGAUUCAGUAUACAUUGACAUAGGAAUCUCAACCAGUAGUUCCAAGUUUACAAAUGGGAACAGUUAGUCUAGGGAUAAUGGUGUAUGAAGUGGGAGAAUCCAGCAGAGCGGCAGAACGGGAAGCAAGACCAAUAUCUAUACCAGAGCGAGUUUCAAUUUGGCCGAUAAUAGAGAUAAUGACACCAAUACCAAUUCCAAAGAAAAGCAACCAAUUAGAAUUUCAACGGGGUGUAACGGAAGGGAGGAAUCUUAAAGAAGUUAUGUUAGGUCAAAUUUUCCAGCUGCAACUUAUGGUGGGUAAGGUCGAAGAUGAGGGUAGCUUAAAAAGGCAAGUGGAAGCGAGCAAGAAAAUAAUAUUGGAGCAAAAUUACAAAAUCAAGGAACAAAAACAAGUCAUCUAGGUAGAAUCGGAAUCUAAGAUGCAAGUGAAGCAUGAAUUAGAUGAGAGAGUGGAAAACUGGUCAAAGGAGAAACAAAGGAUUGAGCAUAUCCUGAAAAAUCAAAGGUAAGAAUUGCUACAAAUUUACAAAUCAUAUACAUUAGAACAGGAGAAUAUGAAUGCUCAAUUGAAGAUGGAAUGAGAGAAGAAGGAGGCAUUGGAGCUGGAAAAGAAACAAUUGGAUGACCAAUAUUGAAACAAAACGGAUGAGCUACAAGCAAAAAAUUUUCUUUUGAAGGAAAAAAUAACGAAAUUAGAAAGUGAUUUGGUCAGUAUUGGUCAGUCACAGAUAUUUGCCUCAACGUGAGUAAGAAUUGAAAAAUUGGAAGAGAAAUUACAACAACAGCAGUAAUAACUAGAAGCUAAAGAUGCCAAAAUCUUCCAAUUGGAAGCUUAGGUUCGAGAAUUAUGAGCGUAUAAUGAAGAUUUAAUAGCUCAAUUAAGGGCAGAGAUUCAAGACGAGUCAAAGGAAGAAGAUAUAGUGUUGGAAUAAGUCCAAAUAGAGCCAAUGCCAGAAAUCAAAGAGAUUGAACAAUCCAAUUAAAAAAAAAAAAAAAAAUGAUUAGUUUUUGUUUAUCAAUACUGUGUUUGCGGAGACACUCCACAGUUAGGAGUGGGGCUAUGUAGAAUAAGUAGUUAUUUUCAGAAUGUAGAUACCUAAUGUAUAGUGUAAACAGAGAUAGAUAAGUACUGAAAAGGUGGUUCAACAAGUAGAAUAGAUAAAUAGUCAAGAAAAGUAGUUAUCUUCUGUAGUAUAUGAGUUGGUAUCUCGGGGUAGUAUAAAGAGGAUGGGAGAGGGGAAGAAAAUGCCAAACUGCAAUAAUACUGAGCCGGGGAUAAGCUUGGUGCUAUCUCUUCUUCUUAAUUUUCUUGUUUCUUUUGUAUUAGUGUUGAUUCUAGUGAAGAGAAUCGAUUUAAUGAAUCAAUGUUUGAUUUACGAAGUUGUUUAUGGAUCACUAUUUAUCAAUUGUUGUGAAAGAUUGAGGAUGUAUAGAAGUUUUCAGUCACUGUUUAUCGCAAGGUUGUAAGAUCAGUGGAGAGGAAUUGUAAUCGAAGAAAUUAUCUCAAUCAGAUUUUGUGGAUUGGAAGUUGUUCACUCCCAGGGUUUGGGUUGUGCUUGUGUAUUCAUGAAUUACAUAGGAUACUAAAAUUGAUGUCAUGAUUGUUACCGUAUUGAUAUGAGAGACUGGACAGUAGGAAGAAAAUAUAAGUGUUCUUCAGUAUUGUAAGCAUUCAGCAGUAGCGGUUAAUUGUGUGAUCCUAACAAUUGGAACUCAUAUACAUGGUCUUUCUUUGUGUUCAAAAUCCCCUAUACAGAUUUAUUCUGGGAGGUUUCUUUUGGAAUAAGUUAAAUGACAACCACAAACCUUGAGGACGAGCUCCACCUUUAAUGCUCAAUUGUAUUUGCUCAAGGCAGCAACCACUCUAUACUCCAAAAGUUACCACAAAUCCAAUUUAAAUUUAAUACCAUUGAAAUUUGCACCACUACAACCUCAACUUUGAAGUGCUUGUAUCUAAAAAAUUUCACUAUGAAAUAAUUAUCCGGGACUAAGAAAUGCCUUGUCAAAGACAAGAUAUAUAAAACUGCCAAGGGAGUAAAUCCUCUUGUGUUCAUAAAUUCACCACAAAUUCGUUAUAGCUCCAAAUUGAAUAUAUAAUAUUUUUUUAAAAAGCUUACAGCAAGAUACACGCACAGCAAAAUUUUCAACUUCAACUAUCAAACACCCAAAAAUUGAUUGACAAAAUUCCGAGAGCAAAUCAACAUUCUACUCAACAAUAAAACUUUUGAUUAUCUUUUGAUUUUCAAAAAUUUGAAGAUCUUGUUUACACUAACAAGGAGAGAGGUAGAAACUUAAAAAUAAUGAAGACUAAGUUGCAAUGUUAACAAAACAAGUCCAAGGAAGAUCAUUCACAAAAUACUCACUUCACAUUCUCACACAUCAUUAGAAGCAUCAUCUCCCGGCAAAUGCACCAUUUAUGUGAGUAUAAAUUUCACUCCUCACCCCAAUUAUAAGAUGGCCUCAAUUAAGAGUUGCUUGUAAUUGAUUGUGUGAAGUGAAAUAAGCAAUUGGCAAAAGACCAAGGAGGCACAACCACAAUACAAGUAAAAGAGAUAAAAUCAAGUAACCAAAACAUCCAAAACAAAGUCACAAUCCGUUCACUAGAUUUUCACCCAGUAAAAAGUAAAAUUAAAAAGUUAAAAAAUAUUUUUAAAUAGAUAAUUUUUUUAUCUUUCCAAUGAAAUAAAAAUCAUGUAAUUCCAAAUUACUAUGAAUAAGUAAUGAUAGAUUAAAGAUAGAAUGUAAAUAAUAGAAAAGUUAAGUGAAUAAUUUUUACCUCAAAGAUAAAUUGCUUAAGAAAUCAGGAAUUCGAGCAUCACCAAGGCUCACAAGUAGUGUAUAUCCCCCCCUUCAAGAGGCCUUGAGGCCUUAGUCUUAUCUUCCUACCUAUACCCAAGGUGCUACAAUGCAUAUGGAAAUUGUACACCUCUCUUCCUACAAGGACUACACUAGCUGCUGGUCCUCCUAUUUUCUACUAGUAAAACUACUUUUUUAAAAUUUUUUGACUUCACCAUGGUAUUCAAAAACACCCAAUUAUCCCAGAAACCUUGCAAGGUCUUCAAAACUUGCUUCAUUUCUUCAUAAUGGCUCUCAAGGUGAUAAAACUAAAUUUUAUCAAAGUCUUGAAAUUUUCUCUAAAAAUUCAUAAAAAAUUCUAAAUAAAUUCUAAAUAAAUUCUAAAAAAUCCUAUAAUAUUUCUAUAAUACUAAUAUCCAUAUGAGGUUGCAUUUUCCUAUAUUGGUAAUUUUUUAUAGUAAUAUAAUCAAUUUAAAUCCACUAAAAAUCAUAUUUUUUAUAUAAUUAAUUAAAAAGACAUGAAGCUCUUUUUCAUGCUUCUCUUAACUACUAACUAAUCCUUGAUAGGAUUUUAUAAGUAAUACAUGUAGAUAGAAGCCAAUGAAGAUAUUAGUUUCAAUAACUAAGUCUUAAUACUUAACAAUAAGAAAAAUACUGAAUUAACUAAGAUAAUUGUCUCCAAGACUUAGUAAGACUCCAUUUUAUAACUUCUUCUAAUAACACUUUUGUAACUUAUAAAUACUUCUAAAUUAUAAAAAAUAUUCGAAUAUUCAAAAAAAAACUCUCUAAUCUUAAUAUUUAUAUAAUUGAAUGACUUAAAACUAUAUUUUUAACUAAUCCACUAAUUAAGAUUAAUUUGUGGGACUCACAUAUAUUAAAAAAGAAACAAGAAUGGCUAUUGUCAAAAGACAAGAAAACUAGAGACCCUUGAAACUAGACUAGAAGCAAGAAAGAAGUUGACAAGAAUGAAGAAGGCUUCACUCUUGUCUCUACAUAUACUAUCUAACUAAGGCUAAGUGGCGAUAUUCUAAAGGUCCUCCAAUAUGUGUUGACUUUAUAGGACACAUGCCUUGAUUUACAAGGCAAGUUUUUUUAAAUGUGGGCCACAUAGUUAGCUUGGUCUUCAAGCUAACAACAUGUGUGGCACAUGGCCAACUAAUUUACUUGGUUUUUAAUCCAAAAAUUCAAUUAAAGACACCUAUAAAGUCAAAGUAGCAUCUAAAAUGCUUCUAGAAAGCUUCCAUAGUAAAUAUUAUAGAAAUAACUUACUUUUUAACUACUUUUACUUACUUAUACAUAUUUAUAUAUGUAAUAAUUAACUUACAUGAAUAUGUAUGUGACUCCAAAAUUUUGGCCAUUUUUGUAAUAAAUUGCGCUCUAUUUAAAAUUACAUAUUUUUUUAAAUCCCAAUAAAUUUACUCAAAUAGGAUUCAUAAGAAUAUUUUUAUUAAAAAGUAACUUCAUUUGCUUUGCAUCUUUGAUGAAAAAAAUCCAUGACUAUUUUAUAAUUUAAAUUUAUUCUUAGAAGUACACAAAGCUAUUUUUAGAAAAAGUAAUCAAAAAAGAAUAGUAAAGACCAAGCAUAUAUAAUUACAAUAAGGUCUCACGAAUUAAAAAUACUUACUAGAAAUCUAAAGAAGAAGCUCAAGAAGAAUUGCCAAGAACUAGAUUAAUCAGAUGAGUACAAGAAUAACACUAGAGAGGUGAGCUAGAGCUCCAAAAGGUGUGUUGUCAAGACUAAGGAUCCCCUUAGUCUCAGCUCCUAUAUAUACUACAAGCUAGGAAGCUUCUCAAGUAACUUCCACAAACUAGGAAGCUUCUUAAGCAGCUUCUACAAACUACAAAGCUUCGCUAAGACCUUCUAGAAUCUUCUACAACUUCCUAGUAUAUGUCUUUGCCAUCACUCCCCCCUCCCUUUAGCUUUGAGGUCUCCGAGAAGCACUCCUAUUGUGAGUUAGUACCAAUGUAAGAAGUUGAAAAUUUAUUGCAUAGUGUCUGCAAAAUACUCCAAUUGUUGUUCGCACAGCAAGUAGUUCAUUAGUCCUUAUAACCAACGAUAGUAUCCUAUGCCUUCAAUUUCUGACCAAGCAUGAACUUUUGUGUCUUCAUUGUAAAAAUGCCUUGCAAACACUCCUUUGGGAAGAUCACCAUAGGCAAGUUCUACCUCAAAUACAGUCACUAGUAACCUAUUACUGUGUAUCUUCCGUUAUCUUCAUGGUACAUGCAGUUCUUCCUCUCGGGAUCGUAUUCGUGAGAUACUCAAUUGAGAAGACAUGACUGAUAUAGUAUCUAUUUCUUGGCUAUCUAUAUCAAACCAAAAAAUAUAAGCACUAAACAUGGAAGAAUGGGCUUAAGUUACAGAUUUAUAGUCUCUAACUAUGUCUUUUAGAAGUUCUUUCUCUCCUUUUUUUGUAAGACCGAGGAUUAAGAGACUUCAAGGAGAAGGAACUUCACUGAAAUACUUUCAUUGAAAGGACUUAGGUUUCUAAGGAUAGCGUCGAUGAAACUCCUGUACUUUUUGUGAUGCAUUGAUAAGAUUUUUCACUGGUUCACAUUUAUGUUCAUUGAUAUCAUAGCUGCUUUAAUGCACUAGGUACUCCAAUUUUCUCUACUUACGCUGCAAAUCUAGUACCUUUUCCACCUCAUAUUCAUCAUGGUUUUUAAUUUCAAUACUAGGUGGCGGACAUUGCACUCUUCUAAAAAAGAUGACUCUCGAUAAGGCUCCAACAAAAAAACAUGAAAGAUUAGGUAUACCUUCAUUGUAACCAAUAAUCCCAAACGAUACGCCAUUGGAUUGAUUUGCUUCUAGAUGAAAAAUGGUCUCAAUCUCCAAUAGUCCAACUUAUCACAGGGCUACAGGAUUUUGAUAUUCCAUCAAAUCAACCAUACUUUAUCUCUAAUUUUGAAAGUAGGUGCAUGAUUCCGAAAUUUGUUUGUGAACACCUUGUAAGCUUCUUGGGCAGUUUGCAAUUGAAGCUUCAAUGUAGUUUGAAGCUCUGAUAGUUGUUCACAAAUCCUUCAACUGUCGGGUUGUUAUUGGUUGACGGAUUCAACAAAUCAAGCUUCAGAUGAUACCCAUAGUUGGAAAAGAUGGUGUUUGUUGAGUCGACGCAUGAAGGAUGUUCUUAUAUGUAAACUUGGCUAACAAUAGAUAUAUAGUCCAAUCAUCUUGUUGAUAGUUGAUAUUGCAUCCUAAAUACUGCUCCAAAGUUUGAUUCACCCAUUUUCUUUGGCCAUCAAUUUGAGGAUGGAAAGCUGAAGAAAAGUUGAUAUCUACCUUCAAUAUCUCAAAGAGAGAUCUCUAAAACUUUGAUACAAAUUGGAUUCCUUGAUCCGAUACGAUAUCAUCUAGUAAACCAUGAUAUUGAUAUACACUAUCAAAGAAGAGCCUUGCUGUGUCUUUGCUUGAUGAUGUUUUCUUACAAGGGACAAAGUAUGCCAUCUUUGUAAGCCGAUCUACCACAACAAAGAUGCUGUCAAAUGAAUUCAAUGGCGGUAGGUCCAUAAUGAAGUCUAUGGAAACUGAAGACCAUGGCCGAUGUGGAAUAGGCAAUGGCUCAAGAACAUCAUAAGGACGAUGUUGAGGAUUCUUGGAUCUUGAACAAAUGUCACAAGAGAGGACAAAAUCCUUAACAUCCUUCCACAUUUGAGACCACCAAAAAUCUCGAGAAAUAAGUUCCAAGGUCUAAUUGAAUCCAAAAUAUUCCACAGCUAGAAAUUUGUGUCGAGAUUAGAGAACUCUGAGUCGUGUUGGUCCCUUUGGAAUAUACAACCGCUCCUCAAAGUAUAAAAGAUCUCUUUCCACCUUAAACUUGUCAUUAUUGAUACAUUGCAUAAUAUCAAGGGCUACAGAAUCUCCAAUAGUCGCACUAUGUAUCUGGUUGAAAAAAUCAACAUCAAUUGGCACUAUAGUAGAGCAAGGCCUGAAUUAUUUUGACUUCAACAAUGUUGUACACUGUUGAUCAAACACUUUUUUUUCAACCUUUGGCACUAGAUACGAUCUCCUUGAUAAUAUAUUAGAUAGUCCUUGUUGCUUUUCAAGUCGAUAAGUAAUAACAAAGUCAAACCUGGAUAGCAACAUAUUCUAUCGAGCUUGAUGAUGAUUCAGAAUCCAAGCCGACAUGAAGUACUCCAAAUUCUUGUGAUCCAUAUAUACGGUCACCGAAUGUACAACUCUUUUGAAAAAGUAACCCCACUGUUGGAAAGAAUCUACUAUCGUAAGAAGUUCUUUAUUGUGGAUCUUAUUAUUGAUCUCGGCAGUAGAAAACUUUCAAGAGUAGAAUGCAAUCAGAUGAAGCUUCUUGUCUGUACCUAUCUAUAAAAGUAUAGCUCCUAUAGUAAAAUCUAAAGCAUCGGUCUCCAAAUAGAAGGCCUUUGCAAAGCUCAGAUGUACCUAGAUUGGAGCCAUAAUAAAUGCCAUCUUAAGAUCUUGAAAUACUUUUUUCGCUAGAGGUCUCCAUUCAAGCUUAACUUUACAUGUCAAUUGAGUGAGCGAAGCAGCAACUUGAGAAUAAUUCUUCAUGAAGACCCGAUAGAAGUUAGCAAAGCCAAGAAAGCAUUGUAUAUCCCUAAUCGUCUUUGGAACUUUCCAUGAUACAAUUGCUUCCACCUUCUUAGGAUCCAUCUUCAAGUCUUCUGUAGUUGCAAUGAAUCCCAAAAAUUCCAUCUUACUUUAGUUAAACAAGCACCUCUCCAACUUGGCGUAAAGUCCUCAAUUGCAGAGUUUUUCAAGGACCAGACAAACGUAGUUUUUAUGCUCUUCUACGUUCUUGGAAAAUAUCAAAAUAUCAUCUAGAUAGAUGACAAUAAAAUCAUCAAGAUACUCCCAAAAGAUGUCAUUCAUCAUGUGUUGAAAGACCACUGGAGCAAUAGUAAGAUCAAAAGGCAUGAUAUUAUAUUCAAAAUGGCCAUACCUUGUACGAAAAAGGUGUCUUCUAUUUGUCUCUUUCCUUGAUUUGCACGAGGUUAUAAGCUCCUUUUAGAUCAAUCUUUGUAAAGAUCCUUGCAUAUCCAAGUUACUCUAGAAAACCUGAUAUCAAAGGUAAUAAAUAAUGAUUCUUCUUUGUCACCUUGUUGAGACCUUGAUAAUCUAUGCACAUCCGUAAUAAGCCAUCUUUCUUCUUCACAAAUAAGAUUGGUGGUGAAGUUGGUGACUUCCAAUGACAAAUGAAGUUCUUGGCUAGAUUCUCAUCAAUAUACUAUUACAACUCCGCUAACUUCAUCUGCGACAAAUUGUAGAUUGGACCAAAAGGUGGUUGUGCUCUUUCUUGUAAGACUAUGGCACAAUCGUUUGGUCAAUGCUCUCGUAGCAUGUUGGCAUUUUUCUUUUGAAAUACGUCUUCAAAAUCCUUAUAUUGCUCCGGUAUAUUUGUUGUCGAAAUCUUCUCUCCGCUAGUUAAAGUCGCAUAAAUGACAAACAAUGUAUCUUCCUUUGACGAUAUUACAAAUGCUCUUGCUCUAAUAAAUAAGAGUUUUUUGAUUCGGGAUCUUCUAAUAGGCUUACUCUCGGAAUGUUCUAUAGGAAAUGUUAUCCUUCGUAACCUCCAAUCUAUGUAUGGAUUAUGCAUUUCUAACCAAGAAAGACCAAGAAUAAUAGGGUUUGACAGGGUUCUAAUAAUAUUGAAAAUAAUAUAACUACUAUGGCCUUUCAACGUCACCUCUAUAGAUUCUGAUUCAUGAGUAAUAAAGGUUUUUCAUCUAUUACUUCUAUGUUGUCGUCAUACGUAAAGUCUUGCUUAAGAAUACUUUAGGCAUCUGGCUGUGGAAGGUAGAAUAGAAAUUAUAAUAAUAAAAUCCUAAUUUUAGUAGAUUAUUAACAAUGCUAAACAAGCUUUAAUCAAAUUCAAAUAUACCUCAAAGAAAUUUCAAAGAAACAAUAAGAAAUCUUAAAAAAAAUAUUAGAAUAAUUACAAAUAUAUCUCAAAUACAUCUCAAUUCAAUCUUAAUUUAAUCCUAGUUAAAAUCCUAUUGGACUUCAUUCAAAAUUUAGGCCAAAACUAACUAAAUUUCAAAUCCUAAUAAAUUCUAAUAAAAUCCUAAAUCCUAAAUCUAAUCUUAAACAAAUCCUAAACCAAACUCCAAUUAAAUCCUAAACCAAAUCUUAUUCAAACCUUAAACCCUAAAUCAAAACCUAAACCUAAACCAAAUCCCAACCAAAACCUAAAUCCUAAAUCUUAAAUCAAAUCCUAAACUAAUCCUAAAUCAAAUCCUAACCAAACCCUAAACCAAAUCCUAAAUUCUAAAUCAAAUCCUAACCAACUCAAAUCCUAAAUCAAAUCCUAAACCUAAACCAGAUCCUACUCAAACUCUAAACUCUAACCCAAUCCCAACCAAAUCCUAAACCAAAUCCUAAAUCCUAAAUUAAACUCUAAAUAAACCCUAAACCAAAUCCUAACCAAAUCCUAAAUCAAACCUUAAAUCCUAAAUCAAACCCUAAAUCUUAAAUCAAAUCCUAAAUCCUAAAUCAAAUCCUAACCAAAUUCUAAACUUAAUCCUAAACCCUAAAUCAAACCCUAAUCAAAGCGUAACCCUAAAUCAAAUCCUAAUCAAAUCCUAAACCAAAUCUUAAACUCUAAAUCAAAUCCUAAAUAUUAAAUCAAAUCCUAAAUUCUAAAUCAAAUCCUAAUCAAAUCCUAAACUUAACCCUAAAUCCUAAAUCAAACCCUAAUCAAAUUCUAAACCAAAUCCUAAACCCUAAAUGAAACUCUAACCAAAGCCUAACCCUAAAUCAAAUCUUAAUCAAAUCUUAAACCAAACCUUAAACUCUAAAUCAAACUCUAAAUCUUAAAUCAAAUCCUAAAUUCUAAAUCAAACCCUAAUCAAAUCCUAAACUAAAUCCUAAAUCCUAAAUCAAAUCCUAACCAAAUUUUAAACCAAAUCCUAAAUCUUAAAUCAAACCCUAAUCAAAGCCUAACCCUAAAUCAAAUCCUAAUCAAAUUCUAAACCAAACCUUAAACUCUAAAUCAAAUCUUUAAUCUUAAAUCAAAAUAAAUUCGAAAUCUAAUCCUAAUCAAAUCCUAAAUAAAAUCCUAAAUCCUAAAUCAAAUCCUAACCAAAUUCUAAACCAAAUCCUGAAUCCUAAAUCAAAUUCUAACCAAAGCCUAACCUUAAAUCAAAUCCUAAUCAAAUCCUAAACCAAACCUUAAACUCUAAAUCAAAUCCUAAAUCUUAAAUCAAAUCUUAAAUUCUAAAUCAAAUCCUUAUCAAAUCCUAAACCAAACCCUAAAUCCUAAAUCAAAUCCUAACCAAAUUCUAAAUCUUAAACCAAUCCCUAACCAAAUCCUUGUAAUUCCUACAACAAAUUUAAACCUCAAUAACUAAUAAAUAAACUCUUGAUCUUAACUCAAAUUUUAUACACUUGUUAAAAACUAAGUUGAAAACAUGCACAAAAAAUUUUAAAAGGAUCAAAAUUACCAAAUAGAUGAUAAACUCAAAAAUGUGCUUGGAUAUUGGCCAACCUCCUUCUCUAACUUUGAUGCCAAUCUCCCAAAGCCAAUAUCUCUCUUUUUCACCAUUUGAUUGAUCUCAAAACUCUCAUACAUAUAAAAAAACAAGUCUAAUCAACUAUAACCAUUAACUCCCAUUGAUACCUGGAGAGGGCCAGUUAUGAACCAGGGUCGAAAUCAGACCCUAAAGCACAAAACCAUGUCUCGACAACGAUUCUAGGACUAUUUGGCAGAUUGGAGGGUCAAAUUUGAUAAAAAAUUAGAUAGGGUUUUUAUGAGUGUUGGUUUUGGGUGAUUUGAAUUUGUAUUAAUUUUGUAAGAGCUUGCGAAGUCAAUGUUUGUUUUGGAUGACUUGGAUUUUAUGAAAUAAAAUAAGGCUUAUAUUUUGGAUGAUUUCAAGAGUUUUUUAAUAGAUCUAUGGGUAAAAAUUUGGGAGUUAAUGGUUAUAGUUGUAUUCAAUAUGUGUUGGAAAUUUGAGCUCGAUCUAACGGUUCAAUUGGGGAUUAUUGAGGUUUAAGUGGAUCAAGGGCAUAGAAAGUAGAAUUGUAGGUCUAAUGAGGGUUUUUAAGAUUUCUUAUAAUUUACUAAUUGGACUGAAAUGAAAUUUAUGUGAAAAGAUAUAAGUCUUAUUUUUCUAUGUGUAUGAGAAUUUUGAGAUCAAUCAAAUGGUGAAAAAGAGAGAUAUUGGCUUUGGAAGAUUGGCAUUAAAGUUGGAGAAGGAGGUUGGCCAAUAUCCAAGCACAUUUUUGAGGUUAUCAUCUAUUUGGUAAUUUCGAUCCUUUUAAAAUUUUUUGUGCAUGUUUUCAACUUAGUUUUUAAGAAGUGUGUAAAAUUUGAAUUAAGAUCAAUAGUUUAUUUAUUAGUAAUUGAGGUUUAAAUUUAUUAUAGGAAUUACAAGGAUUUGGUUAGGGAUUGGUUUAAGAUUUAGAUUUUGGUUAGGAUUUGAUUUAGGGUUAGGCUUUGGUUAGGCUUUGGUUAGGGUUUGAUUUAGGAUUUAGGAUUUAGUUUAAAAUUUGAUUAGGGUUUGAUUUAAAAUUUAAGAUUUGAUUUAAGAUUUAGGAUUUGAUUUAGAGUUUAAGGUUUGGUUUAGGAUUUGAUUAGGAUUUGAUUUAGGGUUACGCUUGGAUUAGGGUUUGAUUUAGGAUUUAAGAUUCGGUUUAGAAUUUGAUUAGGAUAUGAUUUAGGCUUUAGGAUUUGAUUUAAGAUUUAGGAUUUGAUUUAGGGUUUAAGGUUUGAUUUAGGAUUUGGUUAGGAUUUUGUUUAGGAUUUGUUUAGAGUUUAAUUUAGGAUUUAGGAUUUGGUUUAGGAUUUGGUUGAGAUUUGGUUUAGAAUUUAGGAUUUGAUUUAGGAUUUGAGUUGGUUAGGAUUUGAUUUAGAAUUUAGGAUUUGGUUUAGGAUUUGUUUAGGAUUUGGUUUAGGAUUUUUUUAGGAUUUGAUUUAGGAUUUAGGGUUUAGGGUUUGAUUGGGAUUUGGUUUAGGUUUAGGAUUUAAUUUAAGGUUUAAGAUUUGAUUACGGUUUGGUUUAGGUUUAGUUGGAGUUUGGUUUAGGAUUUGUUUAGGAUUAGAUUUAGGAUUUAGGAUUUUAUUAGAAUUUAUUAGGAUUUGAAAUUUAGUUAGUUUUGGCCUAAAUUUUGAAUGAAGUCCAAUAGGAUUUUAACUAGGAUUAAAUUAAGAUUGAAUUGAGAUGUAUUUGAGAUAUAUUUGUAAUUAUUCUAAUAUUUUUUUUAAGAUUUCUUAUUGUUUCUUUGAAGUUUCUUUGAGGUAUCUUUGAAUUUGAUUAAAGCUUGUUUAGCAUUAUUAAUAAUCUACUAAAAUUAGGAUUUUAUUAUUAUAAUUUCUAUUCUACCUUCCACAGCCAGAUGCCUAAAGUAUUUUUAAGCAAGGCUUUACGUAUGACGACAACAUAGAAGUAAUAGAUGGAAAACCUUUAUUAUCUGGUAGUAUCACUGUAAUUGCUUGUUUUACUUAUUCCGAAAGAAACCUCCCAGAAUAAAUCCAUAUAAGGGGAUUCAAACAUGAGAAAUGACUAAUUGCUUAAGCAUUCAUGUUAGGGUCACACAAUCAAUUACCUCCUGAAUAUAUCGUCUCUAUUUCGAAUAUCUGAACACACAAGGAAACUAUAAUCUCCUCCUUCACCUUAUCGGUCUCUUCCUUACAGUAAUUCAGUCAUACCAAUAACUACUAUUUCCACCAUUAUAAUCACCCUCAUAAUCUCUAAUUGUAAUACUGCACCCUCACAGCUUUCAGCACACAAUUACCCUCAUUCCAAUCACUGAAAUUCUUCACAUAGAACCCGAUUCACACUAUCACAUCGAUGGCCCUUGGCUUACGACUCUCAUAGUCUGGUCCUCGGCUUACGACUCUCACACUCUGGCAUUUUCUUCUCCUCUCCCAUCCUCCUUAUACUACUUCGAGAUACCAACUCUUAUACUAUAGAUGAUAACUACUUUUCGUGACUAUUCAUCCAUUCUACCUAUUGAACCACCUUUUCAACAGUUAUCUAUCCCUGUUUACACUAUACACUAGGUAUCUACAUUCUAAAAAUAACUACUUAUUUCACAUAGCUCCACUCCUAACUAUGCAGCAUCUUCGCAAACAGUGAAUUGAUACCUAUCUAAAAAUUAUCUAACAAAACUCUAUAAAAAUUGCGAUCCCUCUAGCCUAUCUAAUUAAUCAAUUGUCGUAGUAUCUGUUAUUGGUUCCAUCGAUUCCGGUUCCAACUGCAAAUCUUCGUCCUCCUCCAAUCCUUCUUCUAGCCUAUCUAAUUAAUCAAUUGCCACAGUAUCUGUUAUUGGUUCCACCGAUUCCGGUUCCAACUGCAAAUCUUCGUCCUCCUCCAAUCCUUCUAUCGGCUCCUUCCUCAACUGAGCUGAAAGGUCUUCAUUAUACUCGCCCAGUUCACGGACUUAAGCUUCCAAUUUUAGGAUCUAGACAUCUCUCAAUUCUAAUUGUUGCUCCUACUGACUCAUCCAUUCUGGAACAUCUUCAAUCGAUACUUGUGACCGGCUCCUCACUGUUAGCUCUUAACUAGAACUACUACUCUCGAAAAUACAAGAAAUACAAGAAAAUGGUACUCCAGACAACCCAAAACAACACCAUAGAAUGACUUUAACUGGUGCCCCACUCCUAUUCUUUUACUACUUGGUGAUAAUACUAAUAUGUUAUCCAUACUGUCUGUGAAAGGUAAUGAGAAGUAAUCUUUUUUGGUGGCCAUAUUAAGUUUCCAAAAAUCCUGACAAUUCUCAUUCUUUUUCGGUACCAUCACGAUUGGCGACACCCAUACACUAUGCAGAACAAGAUAAAUAAAAUCCAUGUUGAGAAGUUUAUCUAAUUCCUCUUCCACUAAAAGGAAAUUUUUUGAAUUAAGGCGAUGUUGUCUCUGCCGUAUCGGUUUAGCGUUCUCCUCUAAAAUGAUAUGAUGCUCACAGACUUCAGUGGAAAUACCUUUUAAAUCAUCAUAAGUCUAAGCAAAAGUGGAUUUAUGAUACAAGAAAAAUUCGGUCCAGUAGGUCAACUCUUGUUCCUUAAUACCUUCGUAGACUUUAAUUGUCCGAGGUUCUGCUGUGGUCGCCAAGUUGAUAGUUUGACAAAAAGGUGCAACGAUGAUGUUCUCUUUCAAUCCCCGCGUUGGUUUAAAGUCAGUUGGUAAGUUUGACAUGUACGAAGUACUGAAUCCUGUGUCCAGGGUACUAACAUGGUGCACAUCAUACUUGGUCAUCUAAUCCGCACUAACAUAAUCCGAGUUUUUCGAGUCCAUUGGAAAAAUCAAGUACUCCCCCGGACCUCCACAUUGGUACACCACUAUAGGGUGUAGUGCUACUUCUACGGGCGCCUCCGUAAUUGGUGCUAUUGCAUCGUCAUCUGAGCUAAGCUCAUCGUCCGAUGUUAAUUCAAAUGCUGGCAAUUGAGAUUUCCCGUGAUAAUGUAUUGGGUACAUUUGUAACACCAUUUUGUCUUCGUCCUUGCCAAUUGUCUAAGUACCCCGACCCCAAUCAUUCUUGAUCUUUACUUGAUAAAGCCAGGGUUGUCUCAAUAAAAUUGGAUAUGAUAAACUCGACCGUUGUAACCGAAAGACGAUAUAAUUGAUUUCAUAUGCAAUAACAAUAAUCAUAGUUUGAACACUCCGUAAGAUACCCAUUGGUUUAACCCGGCUAUGAUCUGCCAUCCGUAAUACCAAUGUUGUGGAUACUAAGUGUUCCAAAUCUAAAGCAUCCAAUGUAUUAGCGUUCAUUAAAUUGACGAUGGAACCACCAUCCACUUGAACAUCCAAGAUCAUAACACCAUCAAUCGAAACAUUGAUGGUUGGUGCACCUGGAUCAGGAUUCAAACUAACUUCACAAACUUCUUUAUUACGUUGCCUAUACCAUGUUAACGAUAAAUUCAAUAUAGAACGGCACUCUGGUACGACCGCUAGAAGUUGCUUCAUAAAAAUAGAAGGCCAAAUAGCAUCCAGAUCCUUCAAAAUAUCAUAGGAUUCUAUAUUUAGGAUAAUUUCUAAUGUCUUCUUUCUUUUCAUUGGUUUGACUUUAACUCCGUGAAAUAAGAUAUUCUUCCGCCCUGGACUUAGAAUUGGAACAACAGCCGGGGCUUCCUUGGAAUUUCCGCCCCCAAGAGGAUCUUUCAAUAGAUAGGACGUUUUUCACAACUACGUAGAUAUCGAAACUACUUGGAAUGGAACAGAAGCCUCCGUAAUUGGGACCUUAUUGGGUUGUGCCACCAAUUCAGGUCUCAUACUGGGUACAGAGUCCGUAACAUGACCUGGAUUGGAUGGUCCUGACAAAUUGGUACGUAAAAUCAAAUUGGAUUCCUUAGUUUGUUGAGGUCUAAGUAUUGGGAUACGUCCCAAUAUUGAUAUUGAUUUGUUUAGCCCCGUAGACAGCACUACUUGGUCUCCUGCGAUUGGUUCAUCCAUGUCCUGAAUUGGAUUCUUAUCUUUUUGUUGGCCUCUGGUAAGCACUGCGUUCACCACCUCGACACGAUGUACUAGUGAGUCUCGUUGAACAGGGCCUUUGUCCUCCGUCGAUUGACUUGUUUAUAUUUGCUGGUCCUAAUUAUUAUAAUUAAAGGGCGCAUUGCACUGCUGAUAAGUGUGACCAAGCUGCUUACAAUUUUCACAUAUUGGAGCAAAAUCAUCACUGGCCCUUAGAUUAGGAUAUUCACUCGCAUAAUAACCAAUCUGUUUGUAACGAUAGCAACCAAGUGGUCUCCUGCCAAUUCCUUCACGGAUAUUGGGUGUCUUUAUUGAUAUAUAAUGGCUAGGUCUGUUUCAUGUCGGAUGAGUAAAGGAUCCUAGUUGACUCAUUGUUAUUGUAGACUUUAGCAUUGGCUUUGUCAUAGGUGGAUAUUGAUGGUAUCCUAGUUGGUUCAUCGCCAAUCUGUGAGUAUUGGGUACACCUUCUUGGUGAAAUUCAGAGUUGAGGAAAUUAGAAUAAUUCUUCUUUUGUUUAUUUGCUCGAUUUCUAUUCCAGCCAAAUCUAUUAUUCGUUUGUACUUGAUUGACAUUCCAUGAAGUUGGUUGAGUCAUUAUCUAGUUACUGAGUUGUUGUUGUUUUCCAAAAUUCCAACAGUUGGUGGUAAUAUGCUUGCUCCCACAAAAGGUACAUUAUACAGUCAUUUGGGGUGGUGAAUGACAUUCUGUUACUAAAUGACCUUGCCCCUUACAAUUGUUGCACCAGAUAUUGGGACGCAUAUUGGUUAAUUUAUGCCUUUUUUCUGUAUCCUUGGCUAGAUUCACAGCCAAUUCAUCCAUUUUUUUCGUCAAUGUUAACAACAAUGACUCAUUAGGAUCCCUUGAUACCAAUGCAUUUGGUAAUUCCUUUGUAUGUAUUGGUUUCUGAUACGCGGAAUAAGCUCAUACGAGUGUGAUGAUGAUGGUGGUGGUACAGCUUGUAAUGGAACGGCAUCCACUAUUCCCUAUGGAAUUGUACCAUAAUCAUUCCUUCCCAGAUAACUUCUCGAUGCGUCAUUCCAAUAUGUCAUUUGAUAACCUCCUUGAGAUGGAAUCAUCGUGGCUCCAACUGUUAAGUUCUGAUCAUAGUGACAUUCCUCCCAUACUUUUGCUCGCUCAAGAGAUGAUGCAAUGGUGGUUGAUUGGGCCUCCUUUACAAACAUUUUCAAUUCUGGUGGAUAUAGUCCAUUAACCAAUAUGGACAACACAAAUGUUUUUGGCAUUUAGUUAUUUGGCCAUUUUCGAAGUAUAUCUGCUACACGACCUUAUAUGACUGUACCGCUUCCCUUGGUACCAUUCUGCUGUUCAUUAAUUUUUCAUUAAGACAUUCUUCAAAACCAAUUGGUCAAAAAUGGGCUAAAAAUGCAUUUUUCAAUGCCUCCCAAUUGAUAAAUUGUCCCACAGGUUGGCGGUUAUACCACUCAAACGCUGUGUCUUUCAAUGUCACUGGCAACAAUCUUAACCAAAUGUCUUCUGUUCUUCCAUUACUAGCUACACACGUUGUCGGGGUAGAGAGGUUUUGCCUUAAGAAAGCACUGGGCUUCUGGUUGUCACUAAUUGCUCAAUCAAGCUUAAAAUAAGGAAAUCCGAAUUUUAUAUAUAUAAGUUCUCCUUUUGGGACAAUUACACCAAAUACUUAAGUCUUAAAUAACCAACAACACCCAAAAUAUGAUAGAAGUACUCUAAAACCUUGUAUAUCCUUGUGUGGAAAUUCUCCCAAACUUCAACACCUCAUAACUCUUGAUUCAACCAUCCAAACAAGAUCAAAAUUUACAUGAAGUACUGAUAUGUUGUUAUUAAUUUUUAUAACAAAUUUCAACUGCAAAUUCGUCGCGGAUCUUCAGAUAUCUUCAAAACCCUAACAGUCGAUUCAAACCCUAAUCUUUAUAUACACGCACGCAAUUUUCUUUAUAUCUCACAAACCAUAAGUCCAAAUGCCACGAAACUUGUAUAGAUAGCUUCUUAACACAAAUUUUUACAUUCUCCAAAAAGUUUGAACCAAAAUUUUGUUCGAAAACUCAAGUUAUGGCUCCUAACACUACUUUGAACAAAACCGAUUACUUAUUGCCUUUGAUUUGAAUGCGCUGUCUUUAACUUCCUAUAACUCCUUCACAUAAACUCCAAAUGCAAAAUUUCCUUUGCAAAAGAUAUAUGUCUUGAAGUUGGCCUUCCAGCCGCAUCUUUUGAUCUCCAAAAGCUUCCGUAAGACUCCUCUUAAAUUCAAAAGAGUAACAGUAGGUCUCAAAUUGACACCUGAACUUCAAACGGCUAUAACUUAUUCACCCUAACUCCAAACCCUAUAAAAUUUGUACAAAAAUUGUAGCCAAAAUCCUAAACUUUACAAUCCUUGCCUUUGAUUUCCUAAUGGCCUCUUUGAAGUCGCCGAAACCCUUAUCAAGGUUGCGGACAGCCUCCUAAAAGCCCAUUGGGCAUGGAUUUCGACCAAUGGGGAUGAAGAUCAUUAUUUCUACGUUCAUCCAACCAUGCCUUGGUUUCAUCCCUCCCAAUUAACCUCCUAUUAGUUUAAAUCUUCAUCUUUAGGCUUCUACCUUCUCCCAAGGCUUCAUACUAAAUAUUUAGGUACUAUAUAUAUAUAUAUAUAUAUAUAUAUAUAUAUAUAUUUAAUGUCAAAAUCAAAGAAAUAAAAAAACAAAGUAAAGUUUCUUAUACCAACUCUUUUUAAUUUAAUCUACUAGCCACUCUAACAUACAUCUAGAUUUAUCAACAUAUAAUAUAUUUUAACUAAUUUUUACAUACUAUAAGCAUUUAUAGUACGACAACGUUGUUAAGAAUUGAGACAAAUAUUGAUCUGAAUUUGCACCUAGAAAACCCCGAAAAGUAGGUAGUGGUGCGACACUAAUCGUACAAUCGCCUAUUGCACCCAUUUGUACUACAAUCGAAACAACUGGUCCUCUUGACACCAUUGAAUUUCUUGUUUCACUAAACUCUAUUUUAAAAUAAUCUCUGCUUUUUCUUAUUCUAAUCUCCAAGCUCUCGGUGCUCUUUGAUUUACUGUUAUUUUCCACAAUUAGUUUUAUUGAUUGAAUUAUAGGUGAAAACAUCGGAUUUUAAAAUACAAUAUAGUUAUCUUUAUUGGUAACCAAUUUGUGCCAAUCUGAAAAGCCACUAUUGCUCGUUUCAGAGGUACCUCCUAUUGGAAAAAUACCCAAUGGAGUACCAAAUUCUUCUAAGCCUCCUUCUCUUUCAGUUAACAGCCUCAAGAUUUUCACUGAAAUGUUAACAAAAUUUCUUGCGAGUAUUCUUGGCAGUUUUUCUAACGAUAUAUAUGACUGCAAAAUUAAUAGUCUGUCCGAUUCUUGAUAUGUUCGGAUGCGUUGACAAGCUUGCAACCAUGGUUUAAUCCAAUUUUAUCGAUACUUUCUUUUAAGAUUACGUUCUUCCUCCUCUCUAAGCAAGUUCCUUCCUUGCGCUCUUCCUUGUCUUUCUCUCAACUGAUUUAUUUUCCUCGAUGCAAUGCUCUUGUUCUUAUUAACCAUAAUCUUGCUUCAAAGACUACUAAAAUCAUCUUUCAUUACCAAUUUUCUCACAUGUUUGGUAAUUAAUUCCUAACACUCAAAGUUAUUAUCACCCCCUGACAGCGGCGCCAAAAUUUGAUUGCACGUUUUACUUAUUCCAGAAGAAACAUCCCAAAAUAAACUCGUAUGGGGAGAUUCGAAUACGGAGAAUGACUAGUUGCUUAAGCGUUCACGUUAGGGUCACACAAUCAAUUACCUCCUGAAUGUAUCGUCUCUAUUUCUAAUAUCUGAACACACAAGGAAACUAUAAUCUCUUCCUUCACCUUAUCAGUUUCUUCUUUACAGCAAUUCUAUCAUACCAAUAACUGCUAUUUCUACCAAUAUAUUCACCCUCAUAAUCUCCAACUGUAAUAUUGCAUCCUCACAGCUUUCAGCACACAAUUACCCUCAUUUCAAUCACUGGAAUUCUUCACAGAGAACCCGGCACACACUAUCACAGCAAUGGCCCUCAGCUUACGACUUUCACAAUCUGGCCCCCGGCUUAUGACUCUCACAGUCUGGCAUUUCCUUCCCCUCUCCCAUCCUCCUUAUACUACCCCGAGAUACCAACUCCUAUACUACAGAUGAUAACUACUUUUCCUGACUAUUCAUCCAUUCUACCUGCUGAACCACCUUUUCAGCAGUUAUCUAUCCCUGUUUACACUAUACACUAGGUAUCUACAUUUUGAUAAUAACUAUUUAUUCUACAAUCACCCAUGAAUAAGAACCUAUAGAGGUGAUGUUUAAAGGCCAUAGUAGUUAUAUUAUUUUCAAUAUUAUUAGAACCCUGUCAAAUCUUAUUAUUUUUGGUCUUUUCUAGUUAGAAAUGCAUAAUCCAUGCAUAGAUUGGAGGUUAUGAAGGAUGACAUUUCCUAUAGAACAUUCCGAGAGUAAGCCUAUGAGAAGAUCCCAAAUCAAAAAACUCUUAUUUAUUAGAGCAAGAACGUUUGUAAUAUCGUCAAAGGAAGACUUAUUGUUUGUCAUUUAUGCAACUUCAACUAGCGGAGACAAGAUUUCAAUAGCAAAUAUACCGGAGCAAUAUAAGGAUUUUGAAGACGUGUUUCAAAAGAAAAAUUCUGACAUGCUACGAGAGCAUUGACCAUACGAUUGUGCCAUAGUCUUACAAGAAAGAGCACAACCAUCUUUUGGUCCAAUCUACAAUUUGUCGCAGAUGAAGUUAGCGGAGUUGUAAUAGCAUAUUGACGAGAUCUAGCCAAGAACUUCAUUUGUCAUUGGAAGUCACCAACUUCAGCACCAAUCUUAUUUGUGAAGAAGAAAGAUGGCUUAUUACGGAUGUGCAUAGGUUAUCAAGGUCUCAACAAGGUGACAAAGAAGAAUCAUUAUUUAUUACCUUUGAUAUCAGGUUUUCGAGAGCAACUUGGAUAUGCAAGGAUCUUUACAAAGAUUGAUCUAAAGGGAGCUUAUAACCUCGUGCGAAUCAAGGAAGGAGACAAAUAGAAGACAACUUUCAGUACAAGGUAUGGCCAUUUUGAAUAUAAUAUCAUGCCUUUUGAUCUUACCAAUGCUCCGGUGGUCUUUCAACACAUGAUGAAUGACAUCUUUUGGGAGUACCUUGACGAUUAUAUUGUCAUCUAUCCAGAUGAUAUUUUGAUAUUUUUCAAGAACGUAGAAGAGCAUGAAUUCUUGUAAACGUAUUUUUCUUGUAAGACUAUGGCAAAAUACAUUUGUCUCGUCCUUCAAAAACUCCGCAAGCAAGGAUUUUAUGCCAAGUUGGAGGGGUGCUUAUUUAACUAAAGUAAGAUGGAAUUUUUGGAAUUCAUUGCAACUACAAAAGGCUUCAAGAUGGAUCCUACGAAGGUAGAAGCAAUUGUAUCAUGGAAAGUUUCAAAGACGAUUAGAGAUAUAUAAUGCUUUCUUGGCUUUGUUAACUUCUAUCGGGUCUUCAUGAAGAAUUAUUCUCAAGUUGUUGCUUCGCUCACUCAGUUGACAUGUAAAGUUAAGCUUGAAUGGGAACCUCUAGCGAAAAAAGCAUUUCAAGAUCUUAAGACAACAUUUAUUAUGGCUCCAAUCUUGGUACAUCUGAACUUUGCAAAGGCCUUCUAUUUGGAGACCGAUGCUUCAGAUUUUACUAUGGGAGCUAUACUUUUGUAAAUAGGCGUAGACAAGAAGCUUCAUGUGAUUGCAUUCUACUCUCGAAAGUUUUCUGCUCCCGAGAUCAACUAUAAGAUCCAUGAUAAAGAACUUUUUACGAUAGUAGAUUCUUUCCAAGAGUGGUGUCACUUUUUCAAAAGAGCUUUGCAUUCGGUGACCGUAUAUAUGGAUCACAAGAAUUUGGAGUACUUCAUGUCGGCUUGGAUUCUGAAUCAUCAUCAAGCUCGAUGGAAUAUGUUGCUAUCCAGGUUUGACUUUGUUAUUACUUAUCGACUUAAAAAGCAACAAGGACUAUCUAAUAUAUUAUCAAGGAGAUCGUAUCUAGUGCCAAAGGUUGAAAAAAAAGUGUUUGAUCAACAGUGUACAACAUUGUUGAAGUCAAAAUAAUUCAGGCCUUGCUCUACUAUAGUGCCAAUUGAUGUUGAUUUUUUCAACCAGAUACAUAGUGCGACUAUUGGAGAUUCUGUAGCCCUUGAUAUUAUGCAAUGUAUCAAUAAUGACAAGUUUAAGGUGGAAAGAGAUCUUUUAUACUUUGAGGAGCGGUUGUAUAUUCCAAAGGGACCAACACGACUCAGAGUUCUCUAAUCUCGACACAAAUUUCUAGCUGUGGAAUAUUUUGGAUUCAAUUAGACCUUGGAACUUAUUUCUCGAGAUUUUUGGUGGUCUCAAAUGUGGAAGGAUGUUAAGGAUUUUGUCCUCUCUUGUGACAUUUGUUCAAGAUCCAAGAAUCCUCAACAUCGUCCUUAUGAUGUUCUUGAGCCAUUGCCUAUUCCACAUCGGCCAUGGUCUUCAGUUUCCAUAGACUUCAUUAUGGACCUACCGCCAUUGAAUUCAUUUGAUAGCAUCUUUGUUGUGGUAGAUCGGCUUACAAAGAUGGCAUACUUUGUCCCUUGUAAGAAAACAUCAUCAAGCAAAGACACAGCAAGGCUCUUCUUUGAUAGUGUAUAUCAAUAUCAUGGUUUACUAGAUGAUAUCGUAUCGGAUCGAAGAAUCCAAUUUGUAUCAAAGUUUUAGAGAUCUCUCUUUGAGAUAUUGAAGGUAGAUAUCAACUUUUCUUCAGCUUUCCAUCCUCAAACUGAUGGCCAAACAAAAUGGGUGAAUCAAACUUUGGAGCAAUAUUUACGAUGCAGCAUCAAUGAUCAAUAAGAUGAUUAGACUGUAUAUCUAUUGUUAGUCUAGUUUGCAUAUAACAACACCCUUCAUGCGUUGAUUCAACAAACACCAUUCUUUUCUAACUAUGGGUAUCAUCUGAAGCUUGAUUUGUUGAAUCCGUCAACCAAUAAUAACCCGGCAGUUGAAGGAUUUGUGAAAUAACUAUAAGAGCUUCCAACUACAUUCAAGCUUCAAUUACAAACUGCUCAAGAAGCUUACAAGGUGUUCAUAGACAAAUUUCGAAAUCAUGCACCUACUUUCAAAAUUAGAAAUAAAGUAUGGUUGCUUUGAUGGAAUAUCAAAAUCAUGUAGCCAUGUGAUAAGUUGGACUAUUGGAGAUUGAGACCAUUUUUCAUCUAGAAGCAAAUCAAUCCAAUGGCGUAUCGUUUGGGAUUAUUGGUUACAAUGAAGGUAUACCUAAUCUUUCAUGUUUUUUUGUUGGAGCCUUAUCGAGAGUCAUCUUUUUUAGAAGAGUGCAAUGUCCGCCACCUAGUAUUGAAAUUAAAAACCAUGAUGAAUAUGAGGUAGAAAAGGUACUAGAUUUGCGACGUAAGUAGAGAAAAUUGGAGUACCUAGUGCAUUAAAGCAGCUAUGAUAUCAAUGAACAUAAAUGUGAACCAGUGAAAAAUCUUAUCAAUGCAUCACAAAAAGUACAGGAGUUUCAUCGACGCUAUCCUUAGAAACCUAAGUCCUUUCAAUGAAAGUAUUUCAGUGAAGUUCCUUCUCCUUGAAGUCUCUUAAUCCUCGGUCUUACAAAAAAAGGAGAGAAAGAACUUCUAAAAGACAUAGUUAGAGACUAUAAAUCUGUAACUUAAGCCCAUUCUUCCAUGUUUAGUGCUUAUAUUUUUUGGUUUGAUAUAGAUAGCCAAGAAAUAGAUACUAUAUCAGUCAUGUCUUCUCAAUUGAGUAUCUCACGAAUACGAUCCCGAGAGGAAGAACUGCAUGUACCAUGAAGAUAACGGAAGAUACACAGUAAUAGGUUACUAGUGACUGUAUUUGAGGUAGAACUUGCCUAUGGUGAUCUUCCCAAAGGAGUGUUUGCAAGGCAUUUUUACAAUGAAGACACAAAAGUUCAUGCUUGGUCAGAAAUUGAAGGCAUAGGAUACUAUCGUUGGUUAUAAGGACUAAUGAACUACUUGCUGUGCGAACAACAAUUGGAGUAUUUUGCAGACACUAUGCAAUAAAUUUUCAACUUCUUACAUUGGUACUAACUCACAAUAGGAGUGCUUCUCGGAGACCUCAAAGCUAAAGGGAGGGGGGAGUGAUGGCAAAGACAUAUACUAGGAAGUUGUAGAAGAUUCUAGAAGGUCUUAGCGAAGCUUUGUAGUUUGUAGAAGCUGCUUAAGAAGCUUCCUAGUUUGUGGAAGUUACUUGAGAAGCUUCCUAGCUUGUAGUAUAUAUAGGAGCUGAGACUAAGGGGAUCCUUAGUCUUGACAACACACCUUUUGGAGCUCUAGCUCACCUCUCUAGUGUUAUUCUUGUACUCAUCUGAUUAAUCUAGUUCUUGGCAAUUCUUCUUGAGCUUCUUCUUUAGAUUUCUAGUUAGUAUUCUAAAUUCAUGACUAUAACCAUAUAUAUAGAUUAUAAGAACCUCGAGUAUUUCAUAUUGAUACAUGUUUUGAAUCAUUAUCAAGACUGUUGGAGUGUAUUUUUAUCAAGAUUUGAUUUCAAGAUCACUUAUUGAUGCAAAAAAUAAUAAGAUUUAUUAGAAAUCUUUUCUAAAUAUUUUCAUCCUGUUCCAAAGAAAAGAGAUUUAGCUUUUGAUCAAUAAAGAAUGAUUCUCUUAGGAUUAAAGUAUUUUCAUCUUUAAGCAAUAAAAUCAAUAUUAUUUCUUAAUUGAAUUUUUAUCAAAAAAGUUCAAUCAAAUAUGUCUGCUGAUUUUUUUAUUCAUGAUAUCAAGAAUAAUUAUUUUAAGCAUCUUGAUACUUUUAAGUUCUAUUUCAAAAAUAAUCUAUUCUAUUUUGAGAGACAAUUAUAUAUUAUAAAAAAUAAAGCAUGAUUAUAUGUUCUUCAAGCUCAUCAUAACUUUUUAAUAAUUAGAUAUUUUAGAUAUAAUAAGACUUUAGAGCUAAUAUCUAAAGAUAUUUGGUGGCCUCAAAUGUAGAAGAAAGUUAAAGACUUCGUAUAAUCAUGUGAUAUUUGUUCAAAAUUAAAAAACUCCUCAUCAUUGAUCUUGUAGACUUUUUCAGCCAUUACCUAUUUUGGAACAAUUAUAGUCUUUUGUUUCUAGGGAUUUUAUCAUGGAUCUUUUAGUCUUAGGUUUGUAUGAUUCUAUAUUUAUGAUAGUAGAUCAUUUUAUCAAAAUAGUAUAUUUUGUACCAUGUAUAAAAUCUAUCACAAGUGAAGAAAUGGCUAAUAUUUUUCUUCACAAUAUCUAUUACAAUUAUGGAUUGGCUAAAGAUAUUAUAUUAAAAAAAAAAACUCAAUUUAUAGAAAAAUUUUGGAGAACUCUUUUCAAUAUUCUAAAGGUAAAUAUAAAGCUCUCUUUGACUUUUCAUCUUUAAACUGAUAGGCAAACGGAAUGGAUGAAUCAAGUUUUGGAGCAAUAAUUAAGAUGUAUUAUCAACUAUCAUCAAGAUGAUUAGAAUUUUUUUUUUCUAUUGGCAGAGUUUGCAUACAAUAAUUUGAUACAUUAUUCUACUCAACAAACAAAUUUCUUUAUCAAUUAUGAUUAUUAUCUACAACUUCAUACUUUUGACUUUUAAAAAGUUGAUAAUUCUAUAGUGGAAGAUUUUGUAAAUUAUUUGUCAAAGCUUCAUACAAUAAUGAAGGUAUAGUUAAAAGAAGCUCAAGAAUAAAAAAAAAUCCAUAGAAAUAUUUAUUAUAAGGAACAACCACAAUUCAAUGUAGAUGACAAGAUACAAUUAUUUCAUUACAAUAUCUACAUUAUUUAUCCUUAUGACAAGUUGGAUUAUUGUAGGCUUGGAUCUUUUCAUGUUUGUGAAUAAAUCAAUCAUGUUGUUUAUCAAUUAUAUCUACUAAAGUUUAUAAAGAACCAUUUGUAUUCCACGUGUCUCUUUUUAAAUCAUAUAAGAUAAUAAAUAUCUUGAAAAAAAGACAAAUGUUGUCUUCUCCUAUAGAAAUAGAUAAUAAUCAAGAAUUUGAAAUGAAUGAAGUUUUAGAAUCAAGGCGGAAUCAAAAUAAAUUAGAAUAUCUUAUUCAUUGGUGCAAAUAUGAUAUUACUGAAUGCAUAUGGCCAAAAAAGAAUCUUAUAAAUGCAGCAAAGAAAGUUGGGGCUUUUUCUCAAUGACAUCUAUCAAAAUUAAGAUGAAGAAUUAUAAGAUCCAUGAAAGAUAAUGAUCGCUUCUUAUGGAACUUGUCCUAAGGAAGGGAUAUAAUAUUAUAGAUAUACAUAUUUAUUUCAAAAGUUAUUUAUAUAAUUAGAUAGAAAUAAGUACAUAUAGACUAAUUUUAUUAUAUCUUUUAAAAAAGCUUUCUAGAAGCACCAUAGAGGUAAUUUUGACUUUAGAUAUGUUUAUAGUUGAUUGAUAGAUUGAAAACUUGAUCAACAAAUUAAUCACAUAUCAUACAUUGUUGUAUUUUAAUUAUUUGUAAUAUGUAAAAAUUAACUAAAAUAUAUAAUAUAUUUAUAAGUGUUGAUGUGUAUUAAAAUGGUUAGUAGGUUAAUUUAAAGAGAAUUGAUGUAGAAAAAUUUAUUUUGAGGUUUACCUAUUUUGAUUAUAAUAUUUAAGUUAUAUAGAAUUUAGAUAUUUAGUAUAAAAUUUCAGAAGAUUGGAACUCAAAGAUGAAGAUUCAAACCUCUAAGAAACUUAUUUGAAAGAAAAAAAAAGUAAGGUAUGGAUAAAUGAAGGCAAAAAGUAAAGAUCUUCACUCCUAUUGGUCAUAAGCCAUGUCCAAUAGACUCUUAGGAGGUUGUCUACGGCCAUAACAAAGGUUUUGGCGACUUAAAAAGAGGCAUUUGAAAAUCAAAAGCAAGAAUUAUAAGGUUUAAGAUUUGAACUAUAAUUUAUGUAUAAAUUUUAGAAGAUUUAGAAUUAUGGUGAUGAAGUUAUAGCCAUUUGAAGUUAAGAUGUCUUUUUAAGACAUAUUAUUGCUCUUCUGGGAUACAAGGAGUUUUAUGAUAGAAUUUGGAUAUUGAAAGAUGUCGCCACAAAGAUAAUUUUAAGAUCUAUGUCUUUUGUGAAAGUACUUCUAUCUUUGGAGUUUGUAUGAAGAAGUUAUAGAGUGUUGAAAACAACACAUGUGAUUCAAAAGUAGUAAGUGAAUCAUUUUGUUGAUAGUAAUGGUUGGAGCCAUAUCUUAAGUUUUUGGACGAAUUUUUAGCUCAAAAUUUUUUAAAAUGUAUGUUAUUAGGUUAAAAAACUAUAUAUCAAAAUUUUAUGGUACUUAAGUAAGUUCGUGAGAUAUAAAGAAGAUUGUACACAAGUAUAUGUAAGUAAGGGUUUGAAGCUAUUACUAAGGUUUUGGUAAUAUCUCAAGAUGUGUAAUAAAUUUGUAAUUAGAAUUUAUUGUGGUAGUUUUUAAAAGCACAUCAAUACUUUAUGUAAAAUUUUGGUUUGUUUGGACACUCCAAUCGUGAGAUAUGACUUCUUGAAGUUUGAAAAAAAUUCAUUUUAUAGAUAUACAAGGUUUUAUAAUUUUUUUAUCACAAUUUUGGUGAUCUUUGGUACUUAAAGCUUAUAUAUUGAUGUAAUUGCUCCUAUAGGAAUAAUUUUAUAUAUAAACUUAGUGUUUUUUUUUAUCUUGAGAUAUAGUUGAGUAAUUAGUGAUAGCUUGAAGUCUUAUGCUUUUUUAAGGCAAACUCUCUCUAUUUCAACAACAUGUUGGUAGCUUGUGGAACAAGCUAAUUAUGUGGCACACACAUAGAUGACUUUCUUGUAAGUUAAGACAUAUGUCUAAUAAAAUCAAUAAACAGAAGAGGUCCUAUAGAAGAUCGCCACAUAGCUCUUAGUUAAAGAGUUUAUAUCGAGGCAAGUGUGAAGCCUUCUUCAUUCUUGCCAAUAUUCAUUUAGUCUUUAGUCUUAUUUCAAGACUUUCUAAUCUUCUUUUCUUUGGUAAUAGCUAUUUUAGUUUAAUACUAUAUCAUCUUUGAGUGAUUUUUUAGUCAUUUCUAAGUGAUACAAGAGUAUAUUGAUUUUUUAAUUCUUUGAGAUUCAUAUCCUUGACAAAAUGACAUUUCAAAUCUUAUAGAUUUGGUAUUAUCACUAUUUAGUUUCAAGAGUAAAAAAGUUAAAAUUUUAUAAUUAUCUAGAUUUAUUUAUAUAGAGUAGCUUUAAAUAUUGUGAUCCUAAAUAUAUAUAUAUAUAUAAAAGUAAUGACAUGUAUGCAUGCAUAAAUUUUAAAAUUUAAAUGUCUAAUAUAUACUUAUAUAUAUAUAUAUAUAUAUAUAUAUAUAUAUAUAUAUAUAUAUUAAAAUCAUAUUAUAAUCUAAGACAAUUACAAUAGCAUAUUUAAAAGACAAUUAAUCUACAAAAAAUGAUUGACAAAGGCUUGUGGUAUAAGUAUCUAAAGCUAUUAGAAAAAACUUUUUCAUAUAUUUGAUGUAGACUUUAGUCCUAAAUUUUACUUUAAAAGACUUGCAAAUGUAGUAAAAGUUUUCUAAAUUAAAUAAAAAUAUGAAUCUUUAUUUAAAUAAAAAGAAUAAUUUAUAUAGAUUUUUGUGAUUGCAUGCUAUAACUCCUAUUUUCUAUUUUUGGAUUAAAAUUUUAUGAAUCUUAAAUUAGUAUUUAUUUGUCUUUUAUUUAUUUUCUUUUGGUAUUAAAAAAGAAUUGCUAAAAUUUAAAUUAAAUAGUAGGUAUACUAUAUCCAAUCUAAUUGAGUGGUUUCAAAAUAAUUGUUAUAAUUAAAAAUUAAAAAUUCUACUUAUAAUAAUUAUGGAUCAAGAAUAUCAAUUCAAUUUUAAUAUAUUUAUAUAUGUAUGUAUAAAAUUUAAUGAAACAAAAUAGCCAAAUCUAUCAUAAUAAGCACUAAAAAAAGAACAACAAUAGGAGGCUUCAAGCAUAAAAGAAUAAUUGGGAGAACAGAAAUUUAGAAAAUAAAAAAGCCAAUGACAAUGAGUCACUAUGUAUUUCCCUAGAAAAUUCAACUACCUAAUAGGAGAUGAAGAAUACCAGUUGACAUUGUGAUUGGGUUGGAAGCACAUGCACUUCACCUCCUUCAUCUCCAUUUAGUAUAAAAAGAAAUGGCCAUUGAGGAAAGUUGGGAGAAGCUCUUCAAUGCUUGGUUGGAUGAAGAGUGUCAAAAUGCAAACAAUUCACUGUACUUUGAUCGGCCAGUAACACUGUUCUCAAAACAUAAUCCUCCAACUUUAACACAUGCUUGACACCCUCAAAUAUAAGGAAAAGAAAACUCACAAUAAAGUACAACCACUUUUAGAAUUCUAAAUCAUGAUGAUAAUGAUGUGAGAGAAGUAAAUAUAGAAAAACCAGGAUAAUCAUCUGACUUUCAGAGAAGGACUGUAGCAUGGUGGGCACAACCGAAUGUUCAUCAAACUAUCAUCCGAAGUGUUUAGUGGCCAACAAGACCCUGCAAGUUCCCUCUACACCUGACAACGAGACAUUGAUUCCGUUCCAUAUUCUCCACGUUUCUAGGAAUCGAAAAAACAGUAACAAAACAAUUGGAAAAUAAGUCAGCAAAAAAUAAAAACACUAGGGGAACUCGGAAACUUCUGGUUGAUUCUAACGACACUCCCCCCCACAGCACCACAAAAACAUCUAAAUUAAACCAAUACAAUGUGUGACCAUUAUCCACUUCGGCAGGUGGGCUUGUGAGCCUGUCUAGCUAUAAUUUUUCUGGAGGAGCCUUUGCCGGCAUUUUCAGGCCCACCACCGAAGUAUCCGUUUGUUGCUGUCGAAGUAUGUGAUCGCAACCGCCGAUCGGUGAAAAGUAGGAACUGGAAUCACUAGAAAUAGCCCAUUCGGUGUGCUAGUUCGUGCUUUGGUUCAUGUGGGGUUGCGGAUACAUGGCGCAAGUCGAAUAUCUUACCGCUGCAAGAUCGGAGGAAGGAAUACAAUCUUCUUUUUAUUUGUUUAUUAUUAUUAUUAUCAAUGGUAGCAGUUGUGCCGAUGCUGGGGUUUGUCAUGGUGAUGCAUGUGGUGGACAUGCGUUGGGUAGGUUGCGGUGGGUUCCACGUGCGGAGUCGGCAACACGGAAUAACCACAGACUUGGGGAAAGCCAAGCAGUUGCCACCCGAGGUUGCGGAUGAUUUUCUGUCCAGGAAUCCAUCAGUUUCAAACUGCCUUCGUUACAGCGCAGAGUACCGUCAAUCAUUCUCUCGUCUCAGUUGGACCAGAAUCUGCUUCUGAUGGAAUUGAGCUCAUGAAGUUUGAAUAGAUCGAUUAUAAUGCUUGGGGUUCGCCACUAUGUGAAUGUCAUUCGUGAAUUUCAUAUUUGGUGAACAUGGAGAGUAUGUGGAGAUAUUUGAACGGAGUUUGAAAAUUCAUUGCCUUGUUUGGUCUGUGAGGAACCUGUGCAGAAAUUUUACAUGUAGCCUGUGAAGAAUAAUCGCUGUUGGAACAUGCAGCCGAAGGUUGAAUGAAUCACUUGGACCCUCAGGGCGAUUACAGUGCAUUAAGAUGUGAUUAAUAGACAACUGAGGGAACCAUAGCAAGAUGAAGCUCGUGCGAAUCAAUGGUGGGGCUUCGGAACCGUGGUCGGCAUGGCCGCACCCCACUGCUGGUGCCAUUUCACCCGUGGUGGAGGUGGACGGUGGCAUGUCAUGGCCGACAAAGCCAACUGCAUGGAACCAGACGCAUGAACUUGUAGCCUGAAACAUGGCUAAAGAGUCGGUGUUUUGUAAGACAACAUGGGCUGGCUUUUGCGGAUCUGAUCCUGGCUAAUUAUAGAGAAUUUUCGGUGCAUGCCCAUAUAGAAAUAUAUGCAUUUUCAUUGUGAAUUAGAAAUUACAAUUGAGUCUCAUCCAACCUGCACAUCGAUUCUAUAUAUCAAAUGUUUCUGAUAAUAAUGGGUACUCUAAGGAUGGAAAUUAACCAAGUGGAAGUAAUGUGAACUCACAAGCAGCACACCGCCAAUUCUGCUACUACUAUGGUUCAUGCUUUAUUAUGUUUUGGCACUACUUCAACUACACUAAUCACAGAGUCAAGUGGCCAUAUAUUUCUCGCGACAAAUUUGGACCUGUCACUACUUCAAAUUCAAAAGCUUAUCGGGGCGGCUCUAAGCGUGGUCGGUUCAACUGUUGCGUGAGAUCCAGGGUCAAAAUUUCUGACCUCACGUAUGGGUCAGGAUGCGGCUGUGGUGGCUGCAGAGACAUAGUUAAUUCCAGCGGAGCAUUCGAUAACGUCAAAUCAUUUCGGCUGUCACGACUCUGCACGCGCGGCUGCUCAUUCCACGCUGCACUAAUUUCAACCUGGCUUCGCUGGCGUGUGGCCAACAUCAGCUCGCUUGCCAGUUGCUCAUUAUCACCGUCAAUCCGCAUCUGCAAAACAUGGAUACUGGUCAAAAGUUGUAGAUCCUCUAAAUGCAGGGUCCGUAACAAAACUCUAACCUGGUUUAUGAACAUUGAUAUGCUAGAUCAGCAAUUUAAAGAAAACUAUCACGACUGAAUCUCCUAGACGUACCUCAAGUAGGUCAUAAGUAUUUGGGUGUGCUGAUAUUGUGGACGCUGAUGCAGGUCUGGCGUCAGCAGGUUUGAUUGAAACAUCAUUUCUCUGAGAUGGUGAUAAUGAAGCAAAAUUACCUCCACAUUGGCCUGUAUGAUUGAGCUGUACAGGCGUCGAUACGCCCAAAGUGAAACUUUCUGCAUAGUAGUCCUUGGCAUACGAGGUCUCAACAGUUGCAGCUUCCCUCUCCCACGAUUUCCAUGGACCUUCCACUUCACAGUUGGAAUCUCUACUCGUGGUUUGCAUUUGCAGAUUUGAUCUAAAUAAAUCUGCAAAAGUACAACAUCUGUUCACAAAGAAGCUCCAAACUCCUGAUUCGCCACUGAAGGAUCUUGAGGAUCCAGAGACUAGCGCAUUGAAGCAUUCUGUCGUAAGAGAAAAAGCUUGUGGAAAACAAGAAACCUAGUGCUCAAUCGCCUCAAGUAUCAGAUUAGAAAGGGGAAAUUAUCGCUGUGGAACAGUUCUGGGAAGCAUGUCUUGAUGUAGACAAGAAAGAUGAGGAUCAGUAAUCCAAUCACUCAUAAUCAUUGAAUCAGUGCAUCAAUCUGUAUGAGAGAUACUAUUAGUUCUCCAGACACCACCUUUGGCUCAAUUCCACAAUUCACUUAGUUCAGUGCAAACAAAUGAUCUGCAAUACGUACCAAAUCGGGGGCUGGAAUCUUUUGCGCUUCUGGGAUUCCUGUACAUCUGCGCGCCAAUCAGCUAGUAACGUCGGUGAGUCUCGACACGGCACAUUCAUAGAAAGAAGUGAAUGUCAUUCAGUGCACAAAUUGUUAUGUUACACGAGAAGAAACCUGAAGAUGACUCUUGAUAUGUGCGAUCUUAAGGCCGCUGACAUUCAUCGUGUGCAGUAUGGCCUUCGGUGUGGCUUCUGCACAAGUUCAUCCCCAAUGGAAACGUCAGGGACUUCAUACAUGAUGUACGUGCUUACAUUCCUAACUUCUCUAAUUGUAUAUCCUGUUCUUACGGCCUCAUUAUGCCAGAGAUUCCAUAAAAUUUGGUUCGUUGUUCGGAAGAUCUCAACUACUACAUCUAGUCAUCAUUGUAACGCCAGAUAAGCUAUCAAGUCCUAUUCGUGUACCAGAAGAACUUUUAAGUAGAUUGAUUUUCUCACUUUGAGGGCCACCAAGCUCUUCAAUGGCGCGUAUGAAGCAACGACGGAGAUCAUCGGUCCAAUUCAAGCGAGGCACAUUAGAGCGGACAUAUCGGCGUGUUUUGCCGUCGCUACUAGUAUUCGAACACUGCAAAGCUGAUGGAGCACUCAUGCAUGUGGCAGUGCUCUUGACGGGGCUUUCAACCACCCUUGAGCAUUCUGGCAUGCUAUUGUCGACAGAAGUGCACCUUCUUACCGGAGACCCAGUACUCGCGGACCAACAUCCUCGUUCAUCUGUCGCGUCUUCCCCCUGCAUUUCAUAAAAGAACCCUCUCGGACUAGCGCCAGGGUUUGCGAGGGCAGUCGACCGCUGUUCGUGCUUCGAUGGUCUGCUGCUGUCACAAUUUCUGGCGCUACCUUCAUACUCUCGAGUUACUAAUUCCAGACGCCCUAUUUUUCCUUAAGAGAUGCACCCCUGUCAAACCUAGGCAUACUCAAGUGUUUUCUUGUGCGGUAGUUUAAGUCUGUAGUAACAUGUGCCUGUCCACUACUCAAACUCACCCCAAUAGAUCCAUGAUUGGAGCCCAAUCCACAAAGCUUGGAGUGUUAGUGUAAAAUAUCCUCGAUUAUAAUCGGAAACCACCUCAUCAACCGAAAGUAUACCCUCAACUUGAAACCACACCCAGCUUCAAUACUCCACAGCCUGCAAAGAAACUUCAGGCAAGGUCCAAAGUUUGGGUUAAGUACCUUCCGAGAUGGCUUCAAUCACUGGGUACCUUGUGUGACACGAUAUGGAACAUUUUUAAUGCCUUGAGUAAAAAUAUGAGUGAAUGCGGUCAGCAGUUUUGUCGGUGCGCAAGUCAUCAACUCGCUUUCACACCAGUUUGAAGGACUUCGAUAAGCUUGCCUUGUUGUUACAUCUCUAAAUAGGGCGGGCGAGAAUUUUUCAACCACGGCGAUGGACUGGGUCGGUUGUGGCUAUUGACCGGCAGCACUGACUUUGGUUGGGCUAGGCCUAGAAGCGUCGUACUUUGCGGAGCUCGGUCCUUGAAGCUCAAGCUACUUGGAGUACGCUCGCAGGACUCCCCCUUUCAUGACUCCUCCGGAAGUACCCUUGUUCGUAGAUCUUCAGGAUAGUAUCAUUCUUUCAAUGCGAAGAAUCCUUCGAGACAUCGCACGGAUUCCGCUUUGAAACGUCCAAACAAAGGUUAAGUAUGCAAGGAAGAGAAGACAUGCGAAAAGGCUCUGACAUUUAGGUUGGCCCCAAAAAAUUGAUGCUGUGGGUACAUUACUUUUGGGACUAACCUAACUUACAGGGCAGAAAAAGUUCCGUGGAAGUGCUGCAGCGGAAUUCAAGUGUGGCCUUAACUUUUGCUACCGCGACAGCGAUUUAAUGGUAAGCUUCUGCAGACAUGAUGAUGGAAGAAAGCACCAUUUGGUGCUGUACUGGUUUUGUGUACUUGAUCUUGUGCCCAUUCCUCGACGUUGUACUGCACUGGUUACCACAAUAAUGCCCACACAAGACAUGAAUUUUGUUCAGACAAGUUCACCAGCUACUUGCGAAAAUGGCUAAAAGAUGAUCUUAUGAGCGGAGAUUAAGUCUACUGAUGGUCUGAAGUGCGUACACCAUGUUCAUUUACGACACUUGUGUGAACUCCAGUAACAAGAACGCACAUCAAAGUGUCAAUGACAUCAGGAACGGCAUGUGAGGAAUACUGAAUGACCAUGGAGAAAGGUGAACUAACCGGGAGACUGACUAAAGAGAAAAGAAAGAGAAAAAAUGAGUUCACAAGAGUGAUAGUUCACUCCCAGAAACCGCGCAUGACUCGCCGUCGGUCCUGUAAAUACGUCUCCACAGACCUAAAAUCGUAUCAGAGUCUAAAGCUUUACGUUGCUAAAGCUUGUGGUACUCGGCACUUAACAAUGUCCAUCACAAAUCAACAGCAACAUAGAGUAAAUUUCCAACCAUGGAUUUUACUUACUGACGUUUCCAAAAUUUUCCCUUCGACGAAUCCCUGAAACUCGACAAGCUACCCGCUGGUUGUAACUUUUUCCUUAAAUUAUGCACCAAUGUUUUCAAAAUUUACCAUCAAAUUCUAAACAGCAUGAAGUACCUGCGUGUUUUUCUUUUUUCUGAAACCGGUUUACUGAUGAGUUAAACCUUUGCAUAGAAUUAAUACCAGCUUCAGUCAUAGACAAUUUGUAGACACGAUUACAAUCCCAAGACUAUGGGCACGAAAGAUCUGUAGAUGCUGAAAAAUUCUCGUCAAUUUAUCAAUUGCACAACAUACAUACUGCAGCAUCAGCUGAUGUGCAGGUACUAUGAUGAAAGGAGCUCCUUGUCUCCCUCAAUCACCGGCUUAGAAGAUGGACUAGUUCCAGAUAUCAACCCUCAUCAACUCGCUCCUCUAUACGCAGAAAAAUGACUGAAUUUUCUACCCACUCCGCCGCAUGCCUUCCAAUCGAUACGCUUAUCGCUGUUCGGACUACUUUCACUGAAUCCGAAUCCUUCUAAUGAUCGAUCAGGAUAAUACUACUCUUACACGGUCUCAACCGCCAGGUGCCAAAGUUGAUCCUCAUUGCCAAACCCUUGAGCUUCAGCGUCACGCGUCGACUUCUACCAGAUAAGCCAGCAACCAUAACAGACACCGUGCGUGUAGACAAAAGCUUGCCAGCACCAGGGCAACCUGGAGCUGCUUCUCCACCACGCUUCCUGCAACCUGAUCGUCGAAGAUGACAACACUUGCUCUGCAGUGCCCUCUGUGAUGCAGGUUUAUCGAACAAGCUCGUCCCACACGAGCCACUUGCACUCAGAUUAUCAUCUGCUCCCUCCCUAUCUCUACCGCUUUCAGUGCAAGUGCUUAGGACAAAGGGUCUAGAUUCCAACUCAUGAAACUGAUGCUGACCUCGCCGGAAUUUUCUCAUCUUUUUCUCACGAAAAUUGUAAUUCACGAAAAGUUCUGGUAAAGUCAAAUCAAUCCUGAAAAUCGGGGCUCGGAAAAAGUGAGCGACAAUUUUAGCCCUUUCAGAGACAAAAAUCGUCUUAAAUUACAUUGACAAUCUUUACCGCAUCUCAUGUCCCAAUGUUGCUACUUUCAUCGGUGGUCAUGAAUCAGGUCCACGUGAAACGCAGAUGAUAUGAGAACCAUUCAGGACGAAUACUGCAGGGUUGAAUGUUCG
Molecule: long non-coding RNA, 77147 nt
Filed under: Physcomitrium patens
Lineage: Eukaryota; Viridiplantae; Streptophyta; Bryopsida; Funariales; Funariaceae
Description: long non-coding RNA (PPAT_LNC013708)
Source: RNAcentral